Molecule: long non-coding RNA, 60957 nt
Filed under: Ananas comosus (pineapple)
Lineage: Eukaryota; Viridiplantae; Streptophyta; Magnoliopsida; Poales; Bromeliaceae
Description: long non-coding RNA (ACOM_LNC021708)
Source: RNAcentral
AGGCUCAUCUGACACUAUUAGAUAAAAUGGAGUUGGGAUAAAAAUAUAUAAGGAUAUACUUCUGCGUUCUCCGGUGGGAUAGAAACCGACUCAUCGCGAUAUGCGGAACGCAAUAUUACGUAUGAAAACAAAUAAGAUAUUUUCCCAUCAUACUUUCUCACCGCACGUAACGCAAUCUCUCCGCAAUCCCAAGCGAAGCUCUAGUCAAGUUGUAGAGUUUAGAAAAGUGCUUUCGUCAUCCAACUUUCUGGAAUGUUUUUGAUUAACUAUUUUUCUUCGUCAUUGUCAAAUAUUUCUUUUUCUUUUUUAUGGAGAAUCAUCAGUAUUAAUUUAUUCAUUUCCUCUACCUAGCGAUCGAAUCUCUCUCUGUAACUAGAAUGUGAGAAUUUGAAUAAUUUGAGUUUAAACUUUGUAGAAUAUUCAUUUUCUGUACAUAAACAAUAUUUAUAUCCCACAACCAACAUUGGCCGCACAUCUUAUUAAGUGAUUGACUAUUUGUGUGUCAGUUGUAACAAUAGCAGAGAAUUCAAUGUAUCAAACUUCUCAUAACGAAUAACUAAAUUACGUUAGGUUCUCAGGUAGACAUUCAUGAUGAAGCAGAUCAAACAUUAAAACUAUUGAAUGACGAUUGCAUAUAUAUGUUUAAUUAGGGUAUCAUGUUAAAGACGAGAAACAAGCGACAGCAAUACUGAUGCUGGUGCUAUCUUGUUUUGUGUGCUUAUUGGUGAUUUUCUUUCCCUUUGCUAUAUUGUUUCUAUCAAAGUUGGAAGAUUGAUAUUUUUAAUUCGGCUGAUGGAACUCUAGCUUGAAUGUUGAUGUACUGCAUAAGUUUUCUUCCUGGUUGGGUUCGAUUGUGCUUGAUUGUUUCUUCGCCGUCAUAACUUGUAUUCAGGCUCACUGGAUGAUUGGAUCGUAGGUUUCUUGAUACCCUAGUGUAUGUUUUUUUGUUUUUUUUUUCUUUUUACUACUCAGAAAAGAAUUUUAGCUUCUGAUAAGUUUCAUUUUAUUCAAGCAAAUCACAAAUUCCUUGAAAACUAAAAGCACAUAUUGAUAACUGGCUGUACUUGGGCAAAUUAUUUGCCAUACAAUUAUCUCUAGGCUACCCUUAAAUUUCUUUCUUUAAAGCUUGAUUGGUGAAUUGGUGAUGUGUGAUCCGACAUGUAAAUUGCGAUUACCAAUUCCUUUACUUAAGUAUUAAUAAGAAUCUUGUGGUUAUUUGCUGUUUCUGAUGCUGAGUUUGCUAUUGAACCUGUUAGAUAUUGGCUAAUUGAAAUUGGUAUUAAGAUAAUAGAUGGUUUGUGACUUUGCAGAAUGAUUUCAACUCUAAGAUAACAGAGAUGGUUUGGAGUUUCUGCUGUUGGCUUUAUUUUGUGUAGGUUGUUCGAAGAUAUCUCAGUACCAUGAAUUCUCCUUGGUUAAAGUGUGUUUAUUGUUUAUAUGCAGAAAAGUGAAAAAAGAACCCCCUUAAUUUUAAGGGCUUCUUGGUCAUGGAAGUUAUUAGUUAGAAUGAAGUUGGAGGUAACAACCUAUUUGUUGUCCUCCUCUCACAGGUUUUUUUUUUUUUUUUUAAAGAAGAAACCCGGGUAUAUGAACGUAAUUGUUUUAACCUAAUCAAAACAUUAAAAGAUACACAAGAUUCAGAGGCUCCUCAUCAACCAACAAAUAAUGAUUAAGGUGUCAUGUUUUCUUAAUGUGUGUUAUAUGUACCUGAGCAUGAACUACAUUAGGCACCCGUGUUUUAGCAUUCAUGUCAUUAUCGUGGUUACUAAUUAGUAAAUAGUUUACACGCACACACACAUUUCAUGGGAAACACUUUGUCUGCUUCUAGAACAAGUUUUUGAUCAGAAAUAGUACUUUUGCAAAACAUUGAAUUUCCGAAGGGCACAUUCAGAUUUCUCACAAAGAUAUGUAUAUGUAAACAGAUAAUUUGCAGAGAAAAACAUAUAUAAGUGUCCCAUACAUAGGCUCUUUUUUUUUUUUUUUUAUUCUGGAGGAGAGAUGAUAUGCUGAUAAAUUUGGUGAUAUAGUAUAGAAAGGAAGUUCACUGGAUGGUCUCAAGCUGUAAUUUUGAUGUGUCACAAGAUCGAGUUGCUGCAAUGUUGCUUUUGUUGUGUUAGCUCACCAACUUUUUUGGAAAGGAAUGCAACAAAUUAGUUACAUACUGCAUCAUUUUUGACUACUAUCUACUUUGUUAACUUAAACCAUAUGCAUAUGUGUUGAAUAUUUAUAGAUAGUCAUUGUACCUUUCUUUGUUUACUUGUUGCAGCAGAGGGCUCAACAACUUCACCAGCCUAUAUACUUGUUCAACAGAACCUAUUCAACAGAAGAGAGUAAGUAAGUCACUCUAUUUAAAAAGCACUUUUCUGAUUGACAUUGCCUGAUUCUUAAACCUGAACUUCAAUUUUAAAGUUUUAUUUUUAUAGUAGUCUGAAUCCAGUAUGUCAAAUCUUUGUCCACUGCUUGUGAUUCUGACUAAUUACACUGCAGAUUGCCAAAUUUCCUGUAAUGUUGAUCAUGUAUUACAUUUAUAUUCAGAAAUUUUUGGUGGGCUACAAACAUAUGCUUGAUUUUCUAUAGGGGCAGUUGUCCAAAAGUCAAAUAUCAAUAGGUAGGUUUACCGAAAGAAAAAGGAUUAGGACAAAUUUGGUUGCUUAACUGUUUCUUUCUACAACUUAAUUUACUGUACCUGAUGUGACUAGAGAAAAAGCUAUUUUCUUAUGAAAAUUUGCAUAGAAAACUUAAGUCCAUGGUACAGAUCUCUAAUGUGGCAUAGAGGACUCAACAUAAUACACAAUUUUUGCUGAAAAGAAAAUCACUAAAAGAGAUUUUUUAAAAAAAAAUUUAUUCAGCGGGGAAUAGGAGGUAAAUGGGAUGAAUAUAUUGGAUUAUUAAUAGCGAAAAUCGAUUUCAUACUUACAACCGAAACAUCAUUUGGGAUUCAUGUUCUUUGUAUGGUUUUUUUUUUCGACUUGCUUCUUUUUGUGUGAUUGAGAUGCUUUUUACAAACCAGCAUAUGCUAUAGUAUUUACUUGGUGGAGAAAUGUAAAUUAAUUACAAAGAUGUAAGCAUGGCUAAUAAUUUUAAGGUUAAAAUCUAAUUAUUCAGCAGUAGAGUUUGCAAAAUGUUGUGAGAUUUGUUUGUAAGUAAAGUAUUUUCUUUUGGAGAUAUCGUCACAUCUAAGAUCACCGAACAUCAUAAUCAGAUACCAAUUAAUUAAAUAUCAGUGGUUGGUAUAGACCGUAUAUAGGUGUGACUUUAUUUAUUUCUCAACAAUAAUAGUUAACAACUAACUACACUUUAUUGAUUGAAUAAUCUGAGCUUUGUUUAUAUUUCUUUUCAUUGCUUUAAUCUUAGUGGAGAUUUUAGUUGCCCAUUAAAAAUUUACCCCACAAAAAAAAGAAGAAACAGAUGUGGUUCUUUUUUUUUAUUUUCUUGGUUGAAAAGGAUGUGACAACCACCUUUUUUCUAGAAAUAAGAUCCAAAAGUUGUAUGGGCCCAAAUGUUAGGUUCUAUAACUUAGUGAAUUUGAAUUAAAAUAUUUGUUUUGGAUUGAAUUUAGUUCAUAUACUUGAAUCCAACUAUAUCAAUUAUGUUAGCAACUUUAUCAUUGCUCGAUUCAAUUGAAUUCAAUUUCUUAUAAUGAUUUAUUCUCUUUUGUAUUUUGUCGACAUAACAAUAAUAUAAAAAAGUCGAAUCCGUUUAAAAAAUAAAAAAAAAAAAAAUUAACCCCCACUCUGGUCGACCGCCACGUGGACAGUCGCCGGCACUACGACAUUGGACUCGACGACGACCUGGUUGCCGGACGUGUUCCGCAGCGCGUGGUACGGGAACGCCGAGUCGGCGAGCAACGAGUACUGCACGUGCCCGAUCCGGUCGGGAAACAGCAGCACCGGCGAGAAAUCGGCGGUCCACGUGCUCGCAUUCCCGGCCACCGACGCCUUUGCCACCGUCGACCGCACCGUCAUUCCGUCCGCCACGUUCCGGUCCACAAUCACCUGCUCGACGGUGGUGAACCCACCGUCCAAUCUUACAAUGUCGACACCCGCUCCGGUGCCGCUGAACAUGUUGUCGACGAUGUUGACGCCCUUCACCACACCGUUGAUCGACUUGAGCACGACGUUGGCGUCGCCUAGAAAGAAUGAGCUCGAUAUAUGGACCAAGACCGGGUCCUCCGACACGAUCCCGGUAUAAUCCAAAUAGCAGUUUGUGAUUCGGGUUUGGCUCAGACCAGGCGUUUUCAAAUAGAUCCCGGUCCCGCCCCAUCCGGUUGCCUUAUUGUAACAAUGCACCCCAGUAAGGGUGUUGGCCUCGCCACUUACUAGGAUUCCGGUGGCCGCCGAGAACACGACCACGUCGGUCACCGCAUUGUCGUUGCCCAUCAACUUGAUCCCCGUGCCGGUGAAGUUUUUCUCGCCCGGGUCGUUGCCGACGGUGAUGUGUUGCCCUAGGAAGCUGUUUCUGAUGAAGGUCUCGUGCCCGUUCUGAACCCAGAUGCCGUCGGUGGUGAAAUGGGUGAUGUAGCAGUUAUCGAUCGUCGUGCGGAUCGCGUUGACGACCGCGACUCCACCACCUCGGAAAUUGGAGUCUAGCAUGAGGCCGCUCAGGGUGAUGAACUCGUAAAGGGAGCUCGACGAAGAUCCGGACGCCCAGAGCUCGAUCAGGUAACGGUCGGUCGGGAAGUUAUCUGAAGCCCGUAGCGAGCCGCUAUGAAUCUAGUUUAAAGACGCACGUGUCAAUACUAACAUUAUGCAAUGCAUUUUGAAUUACGUGUAUAAAUCAAUUAAAAUCCUUCGUAUUACGCAUGUCAGUACAUCGGUGUACCUUAAAAUUGCCGCCUCCGGAGGCCGGUAAACUAAGCGGGGACGUGAGGACGUAGACGCCGCCGUCGAGGUCGACCUCGGCGCCGCCCAGAUCGGGGAUUCCGCUCAGCAGCGUUCUGCUCGUCGGGGGUCGGAACGCGUCGGCGAUGGCCCUCGCGAUCGCGGAGGUGGAGUCGGCGACGCCCGUCGGGUCGGCGCCGUAUUCGGUCACGUGGUACACACGUGACCCGGAAGCUUCCAAAUUCCCCUGCAACCGUCCAAUCCGUCUCGCAUCAGAAAAAUUUAACUUUUUUUCCAGUAAGGGGCACGCAUUCCGUGUAAUUCCGUGCAUACAAAAUUUUCAUACAUAAUAGUAAAAGUUCAAAUUUUAUGUAACAUCGCAAACUAAAAUGUUUAAGUAAAAAGUAUACGGAUACAUUCUACUCUUCAUCAAUUACCAACUACAAGGAGAAAAAAAGAGAGAUAACUGUUUGGCUCGACGAAGGCGGUUUCGCUGCGGCGAAGGAGGCGGCGAGGCUCUCCAUCCGCCGCGCCGCGAUAUUACGCCGCCGCUGAGCGCUGUCGCCGAUAGCCGAAGCAGCAGCAGCAGCAGCAGCAGCAUGAUCUGCUGCUGCAGCAACCAACAUCACCAGCAGGGCCAAAAGCCCAGCAACAAUUAGCACCUUAAUCCCCACCAUGAUAACACGUAUUGAUUCUCAAAUUCUCCUCUUUUUUAAUAAAAUCCCCCACCCCUGCACCUCUCCUUCAUCUCUAUCUACAUAGCCUUUUGUGUACUCUACACUUUCUAAGAGCCAAUCUAAGAGAAGGACAUAUGGAGGAAACAGGGAGAGAGUGAGUUUAUAUAUUUAUAUAUAAAACAUACGAUAUGAUGUGAUAACUAUAUGGACAUGUUAGUGAAUAGAAUAUUGCAAAGAGUGCAUGAGAGGAGAAAGGGUCAAAAAAUUAAGCUCUAAUUUUUUUUUUUUUUUUUUUGGGUUUCCAAUGUGAGAAGUUAAAGAUGUCCCAAGAUUCAAGGAAAAUUGUGGGGCCCUCUUUUGGUUUGAAAUGGGUCACUGUACCAAAGGAGGGGGUUUUGUGGAAAAUUAAUUUGGGUGGGGUGUUGGAUGCAACUUAGUUAUAAAUGCAAUGGGUGGGAGGAGUGGAAGCAAUGUGAAAGGAAUUAAUGAUGUACAUUGAUUGAGAAAGUUGCUUUGGCUUGUGGGAAUUAAUUCCUUCGCUUCGUUACCCUCCCUUCUUUUCUUUCCUCUCCUUGGGAGGCUUUUUGUUGUUGUUGUUGAUCUUUUCAUGUCCUUAAAUUUCUUUAUGUUUUAGGUGAAUAUACAUGACUUGGUAAAGCGAAGAGACCCCACCUAACAAAUAAGAUAAACGUUUUAUUUGUACAUCGAUAUACAACUUUGAAUAUUCUUACAUCUUCUCGAUCCUAAGAUUCACAAAAACUAAAUAAUAUUAGGAGAAGGCGAUGAAUCUUUUGAUGAGCAAGAUAUAUAAUAUGCACCCAGUUUAGAAAUGUACAGAUAAUAUUGCUCAACAAAUAAACCACUCCGAACAAUUUUUGAAUUUUUCUCUUUCAAAAAAGUGUUACCAUGUGCUUUUCUUUUCCUUUUAUUUACCUUUUCUUUCCUUCACUUUUUAUCUAAGACCACGGUAGGUGGUCCAAAGGAACACAAUAUCCUAUGCCCAUUAAUUGAUGCCAUAUUCUCUCUCUCUUUGCCCUUUUGCUGCAGGGCUCCAAAUGCUCUCUCUUUUUUCCUUGCUCUUUCUUUUUCAUUGCACACUAUGAUUUGGAGAGCAAUAAGUGAGAACUGAGUGGACCAAAUUCAAUGAUGCAUUGCACUCAAAAGUGGGCCUGAUUAAAUAAAACCAAGUUAGGAUCAGGCUUUCAAAACUAACCCAUUAUUUAUUUCUAUUCCUUAUAAUAAUUGUGUUAGAACACCCUCUUUGCAUGCUUCGAGGCUAGACUGGACUUUUUUCGAAAAUAAUCCUGUGAAAGUUCGUAUUUGCCAAACUAAUUCCGUAAAAUUUUUAUUUGUAAAACUAACCCUCCUUUCGCCACGUGGGCGCCACGUCAGGAAUUCCUCAAAAAGGCGGUGAAUCGUUCACCGUCUUUAUAAUUUUUGUUGUAAAAGCGGUGAAUGGUUCACCGUCUUUAGAAGACGGUAAACCAUUCACCGUCUUUAGUGCAAAAUUCUCCUUUCCGCCCUUUUUCCUUUCCGCCCUCUCAAGUCCGUCUUUUCUGUGCCCUCGAGAAGAUGGUGAACGAUUCACCGUCUUAUCAAGGACACCAUAUUAUGGACUUGGAAAGAUUUGCGCAGUGUAGGAAUUUGUACUAAAGACGGUGAAUGGUUCACCGUCUUAUGAAGACGGUGAACCAUUCACCGCCUUCACAACAAAUAUCAAAGACGGUGAACGAUUCACCGUCUUUUUAAGGAGUCCCUGACGUGGCACCUACGUGGCGAGAGGAGGGUUAGUUUCACAAAUAAAAAUUUUACAGAAUUAGUUUGGCAAAUACAAAAUUUUACAGAAUUAUUUUCGAAAAAAAUCCGCUAGACUUGUGACAGUGUAGAAUUCCUCCUCAGCAACAAAAUCUUUUUAGCGUAUCAGUGUCAAAAUGAAUCCACACCCUUCACUAUAAAAAAAAAGGGAAAAUUAUACUUACAAAGCUGUAAUAAAUGCAAUGAGUUUUAAUAAGUCAAGAGGACCACGUGAAAGGGUAGUACAAGCUUCCUCAAUUACUCAUGCUUUGAAAAUAUUAAACUAGUGCGUGCUUAACGAAAAAUUCUAGAAUGCAACGGAUAUAACGGUGGCGUGGCGUAAUAAAUCAAUCAAAGUUUUUUUUUUUAAAAUAUAUGUUCCAUCAUGAUUAUAAAAAAAUAUUUUUAUUAUACUUUUAUUUAAAAAGAAGAAAAAUAAUUGACUUAUUAUUAAUAAUGUGGUACAAGUGUGAUAGUGUAGAAUUUUUCGUGCUUAACACCCAUUCUAUCAUUCUAUGUCAAACCAUGCAAGGGUAAGAAAUAUAUCAAGGACUCCUUCUCAAUUAGGUGCUUACUUAACUUAGAUUUUUAAAACAACUUUUUCUACUUUAUAAAAUAAUAAUCAAAUGUUUCGUAAACAAAAUUCUUAAAUUUUAUGACGACAAUACAAUGAAAAAGAAGGUCCCAAAAGUGGAAAUUUCAACUCCAAUUGCUAGCUUUUACUUUCAAUGAGAAACUGUCACUUAAUUAGAAAUUAGUGUUGCUCGAACAGUGAAGCAAUUAGAUAUUGAACUUAGGACUUCAGGUACCAAUUAUUUAACUCUUUGCCACCUAUGCUAGUAAAGGUCGGUAGCAUUCAAAAAUAUUAAGAUCUCUUGUGAUUAUCGCUAUACUCCUAGCUGAAUAAUUAAUAUAAUUAUUCAGGCUAAUUUUGGUUUAUUGUGCGUCAAAUUAUUCUUUUGGAAAAUAGGGGAUUUAAAGAUGUUUUUAUCAACGUUUAUAAUAUCACAAUCAAUUUAAAUACCGCCAUUUUAUGACAAAUAUAUUCACAUAUAUAUAUAUAUAUAUAUAUAUAUAUAUAUAUAUUAUAUAUAUCAUAUAUAUAGGUUAUAUACUAUAUAUAUUCUCUUUCGUUAUUUUUUCAGUGAGUGUAUGUAAUGUAGUUCAUCUAAUAUCCAUGUUGCAUUAGAUAUUAAGAGCAACAUAGUUAAUUGAACUUAAAACUUUGAGAUAACAAUAUACAUAUAGGACUCUUGCCAACAAAAUAUCACUCUUGGGAAACAACCAAACCACUCACAUCAAUGACCAACUUAAGGGCCCCUCAAGUUUGUUCAAUACCUUUGCAUAGGUGCCUCCCUAUGUGAGAUUCAUUGCGAGUAAUACUACGUAUACAUCUUAAAAUUUUAGGUUUAAAGUUUACACUUCAAAAUUUUUAUGACCUUUAUUAAUUUACUUAUCUAAUUUUUUUUUUUUUAUUUUUUACGAAAACAUAAAAAAUUUAUUAGCUUUUGGAUCAAAGAGUGUAUAUUAUAUAGGGCUUUUUUUUCAAUUUAGUCCCCCGGCAAAUUUUUAUUUUAAAAAUAAUCCUAUCAAAAUUUAAUUUGCAAAAAUGGUCAUGCUCCUGCCACGCAGGCGUCACGUCAACCCCACGCGGGUAGGACUGGGGCAGUGUGUUAAGUUGAACACGGUAAACCAUUCACAGUGUUUCAUAUUUAUAUUCCUUUUCUUCUCUUUUAGGGAUGUCAACGGGUCGGGUUUGGAUCGGGUUUUUAAAAACCUGAAAUCGAAUCCGAAAAUCAAAUUAAAAUCCGAACACGAAUCCGAGCCCGGCGGGUUUUAAAAAUCUAUACCCAUAUCCAUAUAUUAAAGUUAUAUGAGUAUGGAUUUUUAAAACCUGUCGAAUUCGGAUUCGGGUUCGGUUUUUAAUUUGAUUUUCGGAUUCGGAUUUGGAUUUUUAAAAACCCGAUCAAAAUCCGACCCGUUGACAUCCCUAAAAAAGAAGAUAAUGAAUAUAAAUAUGAAACACGUUUGAACACGGUGAAUGGUUUACCGUGUUCAACUUAACAUACUGGCCCUAAUCCUGCUCGCAUGGCGCUGACGUGGCAUCUGCGUGGCAUGAUCAGAACCAUUUUUGUAAAUUAAAUUUUGACAGAGCUAUUUUUAAAAUAAAUUUUUUUUUAGAGUACAAUUUGCAAAAAAAAUUCUAUUAUAUAGGACAAUGUACAUAGCAUCUUUCAUUUAUUGUUUACGACUAUAAGGAAUGUCACUGUACAUAGCAUCUGUCAUUUAUUGUUGCGUCGGUGCAAUUAUUGUACCAUUUUUUUUCAUUUAUGGCUAUUUAGCCAAUGAGCAUAAAACAAUUGCUUGUUACAAAACUGUGUUGUUGAUUGAUGGACCUUGAUCUGACCCAUGCACAUAGAAGGGCAAAGGAGUGGGGCUAUUUUGCUUUAUUAGUUUAUAUAAGAUAACCAAAUUUCCCUACAAAUCAUAUUACAUUUUUUCAAAAAAUUGCUAGGGAUAAGCAUCUUUGACAUAUUUCUUCAAAAAAAAAAAAAAAAUCACAAAAACAGUUUAAAACCAUCUAGUAUAUUACUUGAAAGUAGGUAAAUACAUUUACUGCUACUUUUAUUCUGGCUCCAAUCAAAUAUAUUUUUCUUUUCUGAUCUUCAGGAAAGUAUCAUCUCAGUAUAGGGGUGUACAUUUUACAUCUUUUCAAUUUUCAUCGAAGAACUUAAAUGACCCUUGAAUCCUAGCAGCUACCGUAACUCCCAUCAACUACAAAUUUUAGAUUGAUAAUAUGUGAUUUCAUGAAUUAUUAUGCUACUAUGCUAUCGAUAGUAUCAAACGAUUGAUACUAUCGAAUUUUCAAUCGUUAGAUGAAAGAAUAUGUGGUUGGAAUGAUAAUGGUCCCCCAGGGUUGAGUGAGUGGUUGAUUAAAUAGUAUAAUCUAACGGGUGGAAAUAAUCAAAGGAUGGAUCUAACGAUAGAAAACUCGAUAGUACAAAGAAUUUAGUACUAUCAAUAGUAUAGCAGCGGGACUCUCAUUUCAUUUGCAAUGAUACAUAAUUUUGUGCCAUACUACUCGAAGACUCCAAACUUAUAUGAGCCGGCCCAUGGGCCAAAUCUGCACUUUUUAGGAACAGUGUAUUGGGCCGGGCCAUGUGUCUGCAUGUGCGUAAGCUCGAAAACCCCUAAAAUCUGCAGGUAAAUUUACUGAAGCUUAAUACAAUACAGCUAUAUUAUACCAGGAAGAUUAUAAAAACUCUUCUUCCACAUCAUUUCAUUGUACAAAUUGUGCCGGUUAUUUGGCUUAUUCAUUGUCUUAAAUUUAACAAAAUAUAAAAACCCCCCAAAAAAGGGAAAAAGAGUGAAAAAAAAAGAGAAAAUGUCACUAUAUGCAUGGCCCUUUUGGACAAAUCAUAUGUUAUCUGCAACGGAGUAUUAGGCCCAACAAAUUAGGCCUGGUGAGAACCAUCACAUUAUAGGCCUCUAUUGGGCUUCAUGUGGGCCCAUGAUCCACCCCCGAAUCGAUCUCCGUCCCAAACGCAACAUAGACCCCUUAAAACCCUUCUCUCUCUCUCUUUCUCUCUCUCUCUCUCUCUCUCUCUCGCUCCCGCCCCCCGUACGCCAUCGCCAUGAGAGGAGCUCUUCGAGCUCUGAGGCUCGCGACCUCCUCCUCCGCGCCCCUCUCUCGCCCUCGCCCCCGUUCCCUCCUCCCCUCUCGCCUCCUCGCCGCCGCAGCCGCCGACCCCCAACCCGAUCUCCCGCCCUCCGCCGCCGCCGACGACGACGACGCCGACGCCCCCUCCGCCGACUUCGAUAGCGCCGAGUUCUCCCUCCCCGACGACUCUGGCGCUAGCUCCCGCCGAGCUCCCGUGUGGGACGAGGCCUAUCGGGUUCGGGCCGACAGGGUUCUGUUCGGGGAGAGGAAUCGCGCGAAGAAGCUGUUGGAGGAGGAGGAGGAGAGGGAGAGGGCGACGAGGCUCGCGAGGGCGCUGCUCGAGGCGGCGCUGGAGCCGCCCGAUGACGCGGAGGAGGAGGGGGAUAUGGUGGUGAAGGAGGAGGAUCAGAAGUCGCUCUCCGUCGGAAUCAUCGGAGCUCCGAAUGCCGGGAAAUCCUCUCUCACGAAUUUCAUGGUAAAUUUGAUUCCUUUAUAAGGUCUUGUGAUAGAGUUAAAUUUAUUGGACUUUGUUUGUUAUUGUGUGCAUUUUAUCGAGCACGUAGUGAAUAAAUUGGCUCUACUUUUUCCCCUUUUUGGGGGUCUAUUUGAGAAGUUAAUUGCAGUAUUGUUCAAAUGAUACUAAAGUAGAAAGAUUAAGCUAAGAUUCUUUAUUGUAUAUGUAUAAUUUUGUGGAGAUUCAUAUAAUUUUCUGUGUUUUGUUUGUGUUGUCAUGAAGCAGUUGUUCUUCGUUACACAUCAUGUAUGGUGGGUAGCAUUAUUUCAUUUCAUUCAUUAACAUGUUCUUUCGAGUUUAUUUACGUUUGAUUGGACUUCGCAGCUUCAGUUUGAUUGUGGAGUUCAUUUAGAAACCCUCCCCAAGUUUGUAGUUCACAUAAAGUAUCACUUAUUUGGAAUUUGUAAUGCAUAUUCAAUUUCUGAGCUCAAGCAACUUCGACGUUUCUCCAAUUGCUUGCGGCCACAAAAUUCUUUCUGCACCCACAGUGGCUUUGGAUUUCAUUUUAAAUUUAUUGUUGCCUACCAUGUAAUUAUAUUUACUUUCUUCUAAAAGUUUGACUUACAUAUGUUGGUACUGCCUUUUUUCCUGAUAUUGUUUCCAUCACAUUCUUCUUGUUCUUUGUCUGUUAUUGCAGGUUGGAACAAAAGUUGCUGCUGUCUCAAGGAAAACUAAUACAACUACUCGCGAAGUUUUAGGAGUAAUGACGAAAGGGGCAACACAAAUUGUAUGGAUUCUUGUCUUGCUUCUUUAUGCUUCUGAUAUUCAUGCCACCUAGUUCCACUUGUUGAUAAAACGACUUCUCAUAUAUAUAUUUCUAAACUGAUGCGGAAGUAGUAUAGAAAUGAUAGAAUAUAUGUGUAUAUUCAAAACACAGAGAGAGACGCGCAUAUAUGUGACUUCACUUUCUUGACGUAGGUCUCUUUCUGUUUAUAAACAAAUAAAUAAAUAAAUCCAUUUAUUAAACUUUAAUUUGGGGUCUCUAUGCAAUCGGAAGGGUUUGGACUUCGGACUUAUUCAUGGAUAAUAGAAAAGUGCAGAAAAGAGAUGUAGAAGAGAAAGCAUGUGUAGUGUGAGCAUAUUUGUUUGCAUCUUUCCUAUAAUAAUGUUUCAAAGAACUGCUCUAUUGAAUAUGGCUUGGUUUGAAGCAUCUCAUCUUUUUUUAUGUUUUGCUCUUGUAGUUUGGUGAACUAAUAGCCUUUUCGACAGUGUUUCUUUGAUACCCCAGGUCUCAUGAUAGGGCAUCACGGGUACCCAUACAGGACAGAUGUUAGAGUUCGCGUAGAAAGUGCUUGGAGCUCAAUCGACCUAUAUGAUCUGCUUAUAGUCAUUUUUGAUGUCCAUAGGCAUCUCACCACGUAAGCUAUCAACUUAGCUUCUACUUCUCAUGCAUGUCUCGGUGAACGGCCAGUGGUUGUUAGACGUCCAUCUUAUCUUCUGGUAAUAUAGCUGUUGCUAGAUUUGAUAAUUACAAACAUAGUCACUGUAGUUUGACCUUGAUUUCCAUUUUGCCCUAAAGCUGACCCUGAUUUCAAUUUCGCGCUCAAAGUUUCAAUUUAACAAAGGAAAGCUUAAAAAUGAUGCUGACCUGUCACCAAUUUUAGAUGGUAGAAUAAUAGGAUUUAAUUAUUAAGCAGAAAAAAUUUUAGGGAUCAAACUGUUAAGUUGAAAUUAUGAGUAUGAAAUCGAGAUUGAGUUCACACUCCCAGGAGUAAAUUUGUACUCAACCCUAUAUGAUUGUUGAAAUUCUGCUAACUUAGUUUCCUAUACAUAUAGGUCUGACACAAGGGUGACAAAGUUAAUUAAACGACUGGGUGAGGAGGCAAACCCUAAACAAAAGCGCGUUUUAUGCAUGAACAAGGUGGAUCUAAUAGAAGAUAAAAAGGACUUGCUGAAAGUUGCAAAAGAAUUUGAAGAUCUUCCUGGAUAUGAAAGGUACGUAAUCGCUUACUAUGAACUGGUUUCCAUGCUUAAGUUUGUUAUUAGUUAUUCUCAUUUCUCUCUUUGAGACUCUUAGGUAUUUCAUGAUAUCUGGACUAAAAGGUUCAGGUGUGAAAGACCUCGUACAGUAUCUAAUGGACCAGGUAUGCCAGCUUCUCUAAGAAAAAUUUGUGUUUAUUUGUUCUACUUCAUCAUGAAGAAAAUCGAAUUUUGUGUUCUGUGUUGUAUGAAAUAGGCUUUCUGUUUCUUUCUUUUUUUACGUUUACUGUAUAGGCAGUCAAAAGACCUUGGGAUGAGGAGCCAAGCACCAUGACCGAAGAGAUACAAAAAAACAUAGCUUUAGAGGUUGUCCGCGAAAAGAUGCUAGACUAUAUUCAUCAGGUGCUACUUUGUUAAAUUUUACCAAAGAACUGUUGUUUCUUUCCUCAUGGCAGAAGUUAAUCCAAUAUACCAUCUCUAUCAGGAAAUUCCAUACGUGAUUGAGCAUCGAUUAAUGGACUGGAAGGAACUAAGGGAUGGUUCUCUGAGGGUGGAGCAACACUUCAUUACACCAAAACCAAGCCAGAGGCAGAUUCUUAUUGGAAAGAAUGGCUCUAAGAUAGGGUAUUACUUCUUUCAGUUAACUGCUCAUGUAAUACGAAACUACUAGCAUCUCUCUGAAUUUACUGUCAACGUGUGUAUGCUGCCUAGGGCGUUUGUCCGGUAUCUAGUCUCUGUGGUGUGCUCGUGUAUGCAUGUUCUUUUUUUUUUUUUAAUUGGACUUGUAUCGUAUGAUGCUGAUUGCCGCAUUAAUGGAACAAUUUUGUUUUUCUGGCGUACUUACCUUUGUUUAGGAGAAUAGGCAUUGAGGCCAACCAAGAAUUGAGGUCCAUAUUCAAGAAAGAGGUGCAUCUCAUUCUGCGAGUUCGAGUUGCUAAGAAGAAGGGUGCUUGAGUUGACGGUGGACAUUUCACAUGUUGCAGCUGAUUUCCAUGUAAGUACACAACAUCUUGUUUCCACUGUUCGGUUGUUCUUUCUAGUAAAUCUUUCGUAAUGCUCAAUAAGAUAUGCAUAUGCAAUUUAUAGUUUCAUAAGUAUACAGAGGAAUCCUCGGAUCAUUAUAAAAUCUCAUCUUGCAACUGACAAUGAUCAACGAUUCUUUUGGCCCUGCUGAAGCUACAAUGACUUCUCGAUGCAACAUAAACGGAAGUUUCAAUUCAUAGCUUAUUUUAGCUUUCCAUCACAUUUUGACCUAUCAACUCAUUCAUUAAACCUCCCCUAUGGUUUCUUCCCCUCAAUCUGACCUGGAAGUACCACUAAUUAAAAAUAUUGGAGCUAGAAAGAAUAAAAUAUUGAAGCUAGUUGCAUAGAUGGGACGACAAACCCAUGAGUAGAACCCCGAGGUGAUCUUGCUGAAGAAUGUAGUAUAAUAAGAUGAAAAUAACACUGAUUGAGUUUGAAAAUUCUUGUUCAGACCCAUAUACGAAUUAUAAACAGUUGUGUUAUUUCAGGGCGAUAUUGAAGUUGCAUUACUGACAAUGGGUUUUAACUUGGGUCAUUCAUGAAAGAACACGGCUUGAUACAUGAGACCUCUUAUUCUUGAUCCCUAUAUAUUGGAGGCACCAAAAGGAUUGGCUUCAAAGUUACACUCGCAAUCAACGGUGCUCCGGUGCAAUUUCGGGCUCGCCAAGUGUGCAGGAACGGUGCUUCAUAUUCGGCUGAAGAUUACAAGUUGUGCAAUUGUUUUCUAUUUUUUCUUUUAUACAACAUGUUGUAAAUUGUAUCGGUUCUCUUUGGAGAUUCUGCCAUUUGUUUGUUGUUUUUCCUUUACCUAGUUUCGCUAUGGAGGAAUAGCUAGGUGCAGUGACAGGAACAUAUGAAUACUAAUAAUGUUGUAUCAGGUCUUUUUGAAGCCUUUUACUAAUUUCGUUGUGCACAACUCAAAAGAGCCGUAAUACUCAAAAAAGGUCUAAUUACACUUGAGGCCUCAUCUCUGCAUUUGCCUUUCUUUUUUUGUUUUUCCUCUUGUUUUUUCAGUCAAAACUUCUCGUUAAACUUGUGGUAAUAAGAUGAUUUUAAACUUUGUACAUCAACAGUAAUCAAGUUUCUUUUAUCGGGGUAAAAUAAACAGAAACAGCAAAUUAAGAAUUUCCAAUAGUUCUCGAGUUUAAAUUAAAAAUGCUUCAUUUCUCUUUUUCUAGGAUAUUUCUUGUUCAGAACAAAAAAAUGUCAACCAAUCGCUUACAAUAUAAAGCUGGUUAAAAGAGGUGAGUUACUAAGAAUCAAGGAAGAAGAACGCAAAAGAAAAAAAGAAAAGAAAAGAAAAAACAGAUAGAUUGCUAUCAUACACCACACCAGCAGGACUUGGAAUUUCCACAAAAGUUGAGAUAUAAUUUCCCCAAGAAGGAACAGAAAAUAAAAGUAUUGGAGCUGACAAAAAAGAAAAAGAAACGAAAAGAAAAGAAAAAAGCAGCAGAAGCAAAUUAUCUUAUUAUAAAAUGAAAAGAAAUGUUUCACUAAGAAGCUAUUCUCUGAGAAAAAGGCUUUGCUAAACAUCAGCGCACACAGGAGGAAUUUGAAAUUUUAUGACUAAAUAAAACAGACACUUCCAUGGUGGUAAACAAAUCGAUGCUUCCAAAAGAACCAUGAACUUAACAAAUGGUCAUUAGCUUAUUCUAACUAAUGAACCAGAACCUCGAAUGUUCUUACAUCAUAAUACCCCCAUUUUUCUUUCUAAUAUUACAGUAGCUUCUUCACAUAGCAUGCAGUAUUUUCCCAUAAACAUCUAACCUAGAGAACUGAAAUAUGUAUCUCAAGAAAUUACUACUACAUGGAAGAACCGCAAAUAGAAAGAUGUUAAAUUAAAUGAUGAUAAUUUAUUCCCCCACAAAAAAAGGGGAGUGUACAUAAAUAUCCUUCACUUUAUACACCUCAAUGAACUAAUGAGGAAUUCGAAUAAAAUCACCACUGGUACAUCACCUAGACAUAGCAACUGAUUUAGGAGGGGAAAGAGACCGAACCUCGGGCGCAGAGCUCGGAAACAGCACAUUGAGCUUAUGCAUCAAGAUGUCAGCUUUCGACGGUAUCUCAUUCAGCAAGAACUGCUGCACAAUGGGUUUCUUGAACCACUCGAGAACUGAAUCCCCUGGCGCCCUUAAGACAACCUUGCUCACCUCAAAUGGCGAUUCUACCGACUCUAGAACCUGCGCCACAACUAUUUUAAGUGUCGGGCCUGUCACUAACUUAAUUCGUCGAGGCACGACUCCGUAGUACAGCAUCCGCUUCCUAAAUCUAUGCAGAGUGUGGACAACAGAUACCAGCGCCGCCCCCACCGACAAGUUCCUUACGUCCAAAGACCACGCGAUGUGCUGAUCGAAAACAAUGGCUUUUGGGAACAGCUUGUUCUCAUAAGCAACUUUCCACACACACCUCGCACGGUUCGUCUGGCCCAUGAGCACGAGAUAGUUCAAGAGCACAUUCACAAAGUACCGAGCCGCGCUCUCCUCUAGUUCGUAAUCAAUCCCUUGAAAGAAUUCUCUCACAAAUGAUAAGACGGGCUUCUUUCGCUGCUCAGGCCCUGUGAACAGCCCGCACAUGAACUCGUGGGCCUUGUGCUUCGACGCACUCAAAAUAUCCAUUAUGACUCUUUCAUUCUUCUCAUCUUGGCACCUUAUCAAAUGGGCGAGAACCGAUGUGUACAGUAUCAGAUCCACUUUUGCUGCUGACCCAACAUAGGUCUCGAGCAAUGGUUUUGCCGACUCGUAAAGCCCGGUUUUCAUGCAAGAUUCAAACAACUGCCUUAUUAUGAAGUUGUUAGUCCUUAUUCCGGCCGAACCCAUGAAACGAAGCCACCUCAAUGCAUGCUCGGUCGACCCCUCUUUAAUAUAAAUCAUCAGCAUAUCGCUCGCGCUCACCUCUACCGCAAAACCAACAGCCUUCAUCUCAAGCAGGAUCUUUGCAGCCAAAUCCAAGAGCUUUUUAUUUGCAAGAACCGUCAAAAGUGACGUGAAUGUACUCAAACCAGGGCGAACACCUGCAUUGGUCAUAGAAUUGUAAAGCCGCAUUGCCUCAUCCACUCGGCCUGCAGCUGAGUGCAUCUCUAUAAGGCAAGAAUAAGUUGAAGGAGUAGGGAAAAACCCGGCCUUUUCCAUGUCAUUAAAGAGCGACGCCGCUACAUCCAACCUUCCCGACUUUGCAUUCGCCUCUACCAUCACGGUAUAAAGAUUGAAAUUUGGGCGAAACCCGAUGCUUCUCAUCUCAUCCCAAAGCUUCAUACCAGCAUCCAACUUCCCAGCCUUCACCAAAGCCUCCACAAUCGAGACAUUCAUAGCAUUCGACGGCUUAUACCCUGAACUCUGCAUCUCUCUAUACAGGCCCAUCGCAGCAUCGAGCCGCCCGGCCUUGCCCAUCGAGUCAACUAGGGCAGAGUAGACCGUAAACGCCGGCCGGUUCUUCUGCUUCAUUUCGUCGAACAGGUGGAGUGCCGCUUCUAAACGGCCGGAUUUGGCGAGGGCGGGCACCAUCAACUCGUAGGUGGUCGAAUCGAGGGAGCAGGCACUACCUUUCAUGGAUUCGUAGAUCUCGAAGGCCUUGUAGGGGAGGCCCUUGGUGAGGAAGAGGGUGAUGAGGGAGUUGAAGGUGAGGGUUUCAAAGCUGGCGAAGCCGAGGUCGCGGAGCUUCUUGAAGCAGCAGUAGGAGAGCUCGAGGAGGGCGGCGUGGGAUAGGGUUUGGAGGGCGAGGUUGAGGGAGGGGGCGAAGGAGGCGAGGAGCAGGGGGUCGGCGGCGGCGAGGUCGAGCAUGUCGUCGAAGAGGGAGACGACGUCGUCGGCGUGUUCGGAGGGGGAGGGGGAGGAGGCGAGGCGGCGGAGGACUAGGGCGUAGACGGAGGGGUCGGGGGGGAGAACCAGGGUUGGCGACGCGCCCAGCGGAAGAGGAGAGGGCGGGGACGGGUCGGGAGGGAGAUGGGGAGGGAGGAGAGGGAGAGGGAGAGGAGGGAGGGGUCGGGGGAAUGGGAGGGAGUCGAGGAGGAGGUCGAGGAGGUCCCAGCGGUGGCGGAGGGCGAGGAGGCGAGAGCGCCGCGGCGCGGCGGCGCGGGGGAGGGGGCGGCGACGGCGCCCGGAGAGAACGUGCGAGUCGAGCCCCGGGGCGGCGGGGCGGGCGCCGGGGCCCGAGGAGAGCACGGCGCCGGACUCGUCCAGAUACUCGAUCUCCUCCGUCCACUCGCCGGCGCCGGAGGAGUCGCCGUAGGAGGAGAAGGGUUUAGGGUUUAGGGUUUUAUUAGGACAGGAGGAAAAAAGGGGGAUUGGGAGAGGGGUUCGGGAGAGUUUGAGGUAUCGUAGGCGGAGGAUCAUCGUAUUGAGCUUUUGGUGAGAGGGAAGAGAGAGCGAGGGGUUUUAGAGUGACGAAGAGAUACGCGCUCUGAAUUAAGAUUUAGGACGUAGUUAAGAGUAGAAUGGAGGGAUCGACUUGUAUGUCUCACUAGACUCGAGCAAAUGUGGUCCGACCCAUUUAACGCACCCGAAACUUUUUAUACAUUGAGUCAGGUCUAAUCCGGUUCUCUGGUUCAGGAUCGGGGAUUAUAGGCGUGUUUGGUUCAACGAUCGAAGCUCUAAACGCAAUAGAUCAGCGACUCCGACCCUAUGUAGAUCUCUGAAUUCGAACUGCAAUUUAGUAGCAACUUUUGUUGUAGUUGUGAGUUCCACUUCCCACUUUUCCCCAUACACACCUCAUCUUCGGCUCGUAUGUUCCUUUAGCCGAAUCAACAUAAUUCAGAUUUUGAUUCUGUUAUUAUUAAUACCUGCUUGAUCCAAUAUGGGCGAAUUAUUUUAGAUAGAUAUUGGGCUUUUUUUUUGGGCUGGAGAAGAAGUUAGCUUCGGUUGGAUCUCCUAUCGGUUCUAAACUCCACUGCUAUUUCAUCUGGAAUAACUUUAAAACAGACAAGCUAGUUUUGUGAACACUCGAAUGGAUACUUGGUAAUUGUUAUUGCGUAGAAUUAAUUUUCCAUAAUGAACUAGAGAAAAGCGAGAAUUUGAUGAGCUGCAUUUUCUCGAAUUCAUUGAUAAAGUGAUAAAACUCAUUAUGCAAGCUAAAAACGGAUACUCGGAGAUUAAAAGGAACUAAAUGCUAAACAGGUAACUCGCAGUAAUAUUUAAGCUAGGAGAAAGGGAGGCACAGUGAUUUCGCUACAAGAUACCAUAGUCACAACGAUUACACCAACCUUUUAACUACAAAACAGUGAAACACACAACACAAACAUUACCACGUUAUCUCACCAAAACAAAAGCUCCAAAGUUAAAAGUAAUAGGAAGGCUCGCUCCCGACGUAACUAAGAAAUUAAGUCUACUAGAUUUCCUCACAACUGCAAACCAUUUAUUUAAAUCCUUUUAGGCAGCAUUCAGGCUAUUCGCUAUGUCGAUGACGAAUCGGUAUCGAACAUCGGCCUUGACGAGCCGCUCAAUGGCCGUGUUCACGUAAUCCGCGCUGAUGAGCUCGAUGUCGGCUGUCACGCCGUGUUUCCCGGCAAAGUCCAGCAUCUCUUGGGUGUCCUUAAUCCCACCAAUGCAGCUUCCCGCCAAGUUCUUUCCACCUAGUUUCACAUAAAAGAUGGUUAUUAUUGCAUAAAAGCCCCCCAAAAAUGUUGUAAUUAUCACCUUGACCCCUGAAAUUUUACACUAAAAUAAUAAUUUAUGUAACUAGAGACGACUGUGAGAAUUACAAUAUUUGUAGGGGGGUUCGAGCAUUUUAGCACAUAGCAUAAUUUGCCCCUUAUACAAAUAAUAAGGGAGUUAAUCCUGAUACUAACCCAUGAUCAAUGAGAACGCAGGUAUCUCCAGGGGCUUCUCAGGUAAGCCCACCAUGAUCAUCUUCCCAGUGGCUUUAAGUAGAGCCAAGAGAGGCGGGAUGGAGUGAGGAGCAGAAACAGUGUCGAUGAUACCAUCCAUGGUGCCCAUUGCAGCCUGGGAAGCAGAAAAAAAGAAUCAUGUUCGGAGAUAAUAUUUCCGAAAUUUGCGAGUUCUUGUGUUCCAUUAAUCAUAUGAUCAAAAAAUAAGGAGAGAAAGAAACGAGGAACACUAUCUGUUUACGUAUUCCAGAAUUCAAGUAAAAAUUGUAUAGUUUAGUUUGAAAAGAGAUACAUCUUUAAUAGGCAUAGCAUUCAUAUGUAUUAUCUGCGAGUACAUGAAUGCACAGGUUUACUCUACUAGCUAUGAUAAAAAUUAGAAAUGAAGUGAACGGACUACAUACCUGCAUCUGUUCAGGAUUUUUACUGAUCAAGAAAGCAUCAGCUCCCAACCGUUCUAUUGCCUCCUUCUCCUUGCUUGCCGAAGUGCUGAUCACCGUCACCUUCAAUCCAAACGCCUUGCCAAACUUCACUGCCACAUGGCCCAGCCCGCCAAGCCCGACCACCCCGAGGUGCUUCCCAGGCUCAUUUAGCCCAUGAUACUUCAUCGGGCUAUAAACAGUAAUGCCCGCACACAAAAGUGGCGCGCCCUUGUCAAGAGGGAGGUUUUCAGGAAAUUUAAUAACAAAUUUCUCGUUGACGACGAUCAUGUUCGAAUAUCCACCAUAGGUAACGGAUCCGUCUUUAUCAAUGGAGUUGUAGGUCAGGAUCAUGCCAGGGCAGUAGUUCUCGAAACCUUGGUUGCAGUUGUUGCAGGAUUGGCAUGAAUUCACCAUGCAGCCCACGCCAACCUUGUCGCCGACUUUGUACUUCUGGACCUUGCUUCCUACUUCGGUGACCAGACCAGCGAUUUCAUGCCUAAAAUUAUAAAGAGUAGAAUCGUGACGGUAAUGCAUGAUAAUUGCAUGUUUUGCCUGAAUUUUCGAAUAGCCUUUUCUACAUACAAAGCAGAAAUCAAAUGUUGGCAAGCAAAAAUUCCUGGAGUAGCAGGAAUGCUGAUUUGAAAUCUUCUGCUUCUAGCAAGAGCUUACUCAGACAACAAUUUUUAUAGAGGCUCCACUCAGGUUUAUGCUAUACCCCUAAAGACCCACAACAGUUAGGAGAAAAGAAUAACAUAGUGAACAGAAAAGAAUCGGACAAUUUAUUUUUCUUGACUUCCAAAUUUCCAAUUAUUUAAAAAACACACCCUUUUGAACAAGAAUCUAAUGAAGCAACAUUCUAUAGAACUUAAUAUUCUUUGGACUUUGAAGAUGACCAAUGACUGUAAUUGACCGAAUGGCCGGAGUCCUUCAUAAACAUCUAACUAGCAUCACUUCUAGAAUUCAGUGUUAAGAAUAGUGUUCAUAAUUGGUACAUACCCAGCCACAAUUGGGUAAAUGGUGUUUCGCCAUUCGUUCUUUAUGCUGUGAAGGUCCGAAUGGCAGAUCCCACAGAAGAGUAUCUUUAUGGUCACAUCAUUUUCGCCAUUGUUUCUGUAAAAUAGUGAAAAGCAAAUAUUACAAGUUAUUCAUGGACAUAAUAAGGGAACGAUUAAAAAAUCAUUAGUUCUUUGACACAUUAUAACUUUGAAAGAGAAAAAUGUCAGGCGCACAAGCAUUUUACACAGUAAAUCACUAUAUAUUUAUAGAUUUAAUUAUUCCCGAGCACAUAUUUCUCAUGAAAAACCAGAAAGUCUGAGCAAUAGGUCUUCGAAAGGCAGGAUUUGGACAAAAAAAUUAUAUUAUAAAGUUAUUAUAAAGUGAUAAUUAACCUUGAAGGCAUUUAAAAUCCUACUCACCAAUUCAAUAUCUAAGACCAAUUAGAAUUAAAAGUAAGUUCUUCAGGUUUUGCUUCUUUUCUCCUAAGAACCAAAGUAUCAAUAGAUACAAAUGCUAACACCCAGUUGCAUCUGUAGCUAUUAAAUUUCUGACCUAUAAAAGGCCAAUUUUACAACAACCCUUGGUUGUUGAAUAAUAACUACAAACUGACUGAGUCAGGAUGCACUGACAUUGCAAUCAAGAAAGAUAACGCAGAUAACACGAGAAACAGGGAAUGAUUUCCUAUAAAAAUAUUCAAUCCAAUGUUCACAAUAAAUUGUAUUAGUUGAGUAUUUAUUAUCACAUGGUGUUUGCUACUCCUGGAUAUAUGCAUGAAUUAUUGCAAAACUUAUUCCUUUUGCAUAUUGACUGUAGAUUAUGCAAAUAAGCAGAAGCAAUUAAUGGCAGCAAGACUUGUGAAAGUGCAAGAAGUUCAUGCAGAUGUUGGUGUUAAUUUCCCAUUACAGGUACAACAUCAAAACUAUAGCAAUCAAGGCUUGCUUGCUUACUUUCUCAGAUCAUGAUAAAAAGAAUCAUUAAAAAAGGUAUGAAAAAUUUAAACAUCUAGUCAAGCAAAGCAUAACAUAGAAUAUAGUAAAGGUCAAUAGCUUUGCCGACCGUCCUAGCUCAAGUGGCAAAGGGAUUUGAUGGUUUGACACUUAAUUAAAAAAAAUGGCUCAACAAGAUAUCCAUCCAAGCAUUUGUUGCACUAGCCAGAAGAGAGAGAAAAAAAAUUAUGAAUUAGUUGCCCACUUUCCCCCCCAGCUAACGCUAUAUGCAAUAAAUGAUUCUACGCUGCAAAGCAAGUAAGGCAGUAGUUGCUCUUGCUUCUAAACGUACUAUUCCGAUAAAUAUGAACAUACAAAACAAAGAUGUCAUAUGUCAUACUAAAGUGACCUUGCUUUCUUUCUUCCGUAUUUAACGCUGCUUUUCUCGUUGCCAACAAAAUUAUUUAAUGUCCCUAAAAAGUUGCAACUUUUCUCAUCAUUCAUUAUUGCUAGUCUGCUAGUAACAGGACUAUCAGUGCCCAUAUUUCUAGUCUGCUUAAGAAAACUAUCAAAUUGUUGAAUUGGAAAGGUGUUUUUUUUAUAUUUAUUUUUCAGUUUAAUUUUAUCUUUUCCGGAGAUUUAUUUAUAUUUGUAAGUAGAUAAAAAAAAUAACACAAAGAGCCGAACCAUCUCUUUUAUUUUUUUUCCUUUUAGUCCAGUGUACUCGCCCCAAAUUAAUGUGGCUUCACCAGUAGUGUAGAAUUUUAAAUACCAUAAAGUCUCAAUUAUACAAAAAGUAAAAACAAUUACAAUGGUCCCCAUUCUCAAAAUAAUAAUAAUAAUAAUAAUAAUAAUAAUAAAUACAAUGGUCCUCAGACCUCACAUGGUACCUCACAUGAUAAUGAUAACAUAUAUCAACUACUGAAUCAGAUACCGAUCGUCUCUAGAGCAAAUGGCAAAAUACUUGAUAGUUGAUAUCCGAGAUCCCAAGUUCGAAUCCUAAUUGAUUCACAUUUUCAGCUAAGUUUAUUUCUAAAUAAAAUAAACGAAGUGGGUAGCGUGCUACCUAUCUCUUAAUAAAAUAAAAAAAAAACCCAUUGUACCAGAUUAGGCCCACUCAGUAACAUGGGUACCAGAUUAGGCCCACUCAGUAACAUUAAAAUAUUUUACUAAGUUACAACGAUAGUAAACAGAAGAAAAAAAUAGACGAGUUAGACAUUUGCGUUGAAUCAUACGAGACAGUAGCUUGGCGAACAGGUACAUCAUCAGUCAACUAAUAAAAUAUGCAAAUAAUCGAAUCCCGAACUAUCCUUUAAAAGGUCACUUAAUUACUAAGUAUUAAACUACUACAAGCGUUCAAGGUGGGCCCUACAAGCGUUAAAGGUAGGCCCGCCCGUUCUGCAUGCAGAGCUAGGAAAUUUUAAAUGAAUGGGAAAAGUACAUGAUUAGCACCCUAAUCUUUAUCCAGUGUUCAAUCAAAGCCUCUUUUUUUAAUAACUAUACAAAUAUGGUGCCCGAUAUUGCAAUCCUACAUUGAUGCUGAUGUAGCAAUAACUAUACAAAUUAAUAAUCGUUUUGAUAGACCGACCGUCCCUAAAGCAAGUGGCAAAAGACUUGGUGGUUGUAACCGAAGUCACCAUCUCCUCAAGGUACGGUGUUUCCAAUUUUGAAACGAUUUUGGCAUUUUUUUUUUUUUAAUUUGUGGGCUUUCGGUUUCUAAGCUUUUAAUGCCCCCGCAUUACUGAAUUUUCCAGUUAAUUUGUGUUUAUUUUUCUAAUUUUAUCAAAAUCUAGCAGAAAAAUUUUGUUCUUCAGUUUAGUAACUCAGAUUUGCUUCUGUAAUCAGUUGUAAAAAUUGUUGCUUUUUGUUGCCACUUUGACGAGAGAGAAAAAAAAAAUGGCAUCUUUAUCCUUUUGACUUGAAGGGUUACUGUAGUUUCUAAGUAAUCUCUGGAUCUGCUACAGGACUCAAUUUGAGAGAGCAAAUUUUCUAUGAGUAUAUGGUAUUCUACUUCAAAUUUUCAUGGUAAUUGUUAUGGGUGCAGUGAUGCAGAUCAUAACAAGCUAUCUAAGUUCAUUAGGCUUCGAACUAUAAAUUUUCUAAUCAAAUUUUUAAUCAAUUGCACUAGAUGGAUGGGAACAAAACACACAUCCUAAGGCUCCGUUUAGUUCGGAAAUUAAUAAGAACUAGUUAUAUCGGGAAUAGAUAUAAGUAUGAAUUUUUGUAAGAACAAGAAUAUUUUUUUAUUUGGAUGAAAUUGUGAGUAUAAACUGAAACUAGAAAAAUUGUGUUUAGAUGGUUAUUGGGAAUAAGAGAAAUAGUUGGUGGUUAUAAAUAAAAAAUAAUGAUAUUACCCAUAUAAUUAAAUUUAAAUUUUUAAAAUUUAAAAUUUAAAAUUUAAAAUUUAAAUAUUCAAAUUUUUAAAUUGAAAAUUNUUUAAGUUUUAAAUUUAAGACCAAAUUUAAAUUUGAAAUAUAUAAAAUAUCAAAUUUAAAAUUUAAAAAUUUCUAAUAACAAAUCUAAAAUUUAAAUUUUAAAUUUUAUAAUUUAUAAUUUUAAAUUUUAAUUUUAAAAUUACAAAAUUUAAAUUUUAAAUUUUUAAAAUAAAACUCUCUCUGUCUACCCAGUGGGUGGGAACAAGCUUGUUCCUUGGUGGGAACUAUUGUUCCCACCCCUUACCGGGUUAUAUCAGGUAUAACCCGGUAAGGAGUGGGAACAAUAGUUUUCACCAAUUUUUUUUUUUUUUAUUUGGGUAUAAAGGGUGAUAACCCUCUUAUCCCCCUUCAUACCCGAUCCAAACAGGUCUAAAAGUAAAAGGAUGGAGGGAUUAGGGGUUUGUAUUUGCUAAAAACAAAGAAAAGGUAGUAUGAACAGGACCACCAAAAAAAACUUUGGACAGAAGAAACUUCUGGGCCCCACAAAUGCUCUCGCUCCCAGAAAACUCCAGAGGCUGGUCGUUGUGACUUGCGAGAGGUAAGACCGUAAAAGUUACGAGUGAGGUGGUGCGCGCGCCAAAAAGCGCACCCCAAAAUAAUAAUAUGACAAAAAUGAAUAAACAUAAUAAUAAUAAGUGACCAUACGUCUUUCUCACUUGCAAAAUUAAAUCGAUCGAACGAAUGUCACAAUAUAUAUAUAUAUAUAUAUAUAUAUAUAUAUAGAGAGAGAGAGAGAGAGAGUAGGGCUAGAAUAUUUUUACAAGUAUCAACUAAGUGAUACUUGUGUAUUUUUAACCAUUGGAUCUACUUUUUGAUUACUAAUAGCCUUUAAAGUCAAACAUAUUCCACCUACCACACCUACCACCAUCAUCUCAACCUCACAUCUCUCCAUCCAAGGGCUAAAAACACACAGUAUUUACCCCAUAAUACUUUUACAAGUAUUCUAGUCUACUAUAUAAUAUAUAUAUAUAUAAUAUAUAUAAUAUAUAUAUAUAUAUAUAUAUAAUAUAAGAUGAGCUACUAUGCUAUCGGAAGCACGGAGCCUUCGUGCUUCACUCAUUUUCGAUGUUGCGACUUUCGAAUCGUCGAUCGGCUCCGUUAAACUUGAUCUAGAGUAUUUGAAGUACCUAGAAAAUAAAUUUUUUAUUUUUCGAUAUCAUUUGCCUAGUGAUCGAAUGGCUCAAAUAACAAAUUUCAAUGGUCGUAGUGAGCCGUUUUGCAAGUUUAACGGUGUAGAAAUAUCCAAAUCACGUGAAAUUUUGAUAGAAAAUUCUUUAUACUAUAUAAAACAAGAUCAAUAUCUUUGAUUUAAAAUUUUAAUGUCAUAUUAUCACAUUUUGUAAGAUUUUUAUUUUCAGCCGUUGAUUUUAAGCUCCUUCGUUCACUAGGCAAAUGAUAUCGAAAAAUAAUAAAAUUUAUUUUCUAGGUACUUCAAAUACUCUAGAUCAAGUUUAACGGAGUCGAUCGACGAUUCGAAAGUCGCAACAUCGAAAAUGAGCUGGAAGCACGGAAGGCUCCGUGCUUCCGAUAGCAUAGUAGCCUCGCUCUAUAUAUAUAUAUAUCUACGUAUUAUAGAAACAUAUAGAUCUGGUGGUUUUUUGCUCGACGAAUAAAAAAAAAAUCUGUGAAUAGACAAUGGAUGGAAUUUUUCCUCAACGUGUUAGUCACUAAAAAGGCAAGAGAAAUUGUAGGAAGAAGAUGGCGACCUAAUAAUACAAAGGAACAACGGAAACAAAGAUACAUCUAUAGAUCGAAGAAUAUUAAAAUAUAACUCGAAAAUAAAAUGGACUAAAUUAAAUCGAAACCCAAAAUAAGCAGCAAAUUUCUAGUCGAUAUGCCAAAAAUAAAAAAGAAAAAAAAACUAAAGCGUAAUCUGUAGAGAGAGAGAGAGAGAGAGAGAGAGAGCGAGCAAGAGAUCAAAAGAUCUAAACAUACCUAUAGACCGAGCCAUAUUACAAAACGAAAUGUACAAAAACAAAUGAGAAUGUUUUUUUUAUAUACUGGAAAUCAAGGAGAGCAGGUCAAUAACUACUGAAAAAUAUACUCAAAACGAACGAAAAAAGCCGGGAAAAAAAAGAGAAAACACAAAUAAAAGUAGGACAGAAAGAAAACACGGAAGCAGCUAGAAAUUAAAACACAUAUAGAUCGAGCGAUCAUUCCAUCAGUAAAUAGGUCUACACACACAUCGAUCGAUUGAUCAAUAGCAAAAUCUGCACACAUAUCGAUCGAUCAUUCGAUCAAUAAAUAAAUCUGCACAUACACACAUCGAUCGAUUGAUCAAUACCAAAAUCUACACGCACGCACACACACAUCGAUCGAUCGAUCGAUAGAAAAAUCCACACACACACACACAAAGAGAGAGAGAGAGAGAGAGAGACCUGCGAGAGAAGGCGAAAGGAGAGAGGUGGCCGGAGGAGUCGGUGGCCGCCAAGCCGAAGGCCUUGCGGGAGUGCUCCUCCGCGGGCGAAAGCUUCUCCCCGUUCUCCGUCGACGGCGCCAUUGAUGCUCCUUCGCGAGAUCGCUCGAGAGAUCGCGAGAGAGAGAGAGAGAGAGAGAGAGAGAGAGAGGAGAUGCGAAUGAGGGAAUCGUGAAACACUGGGAAAGAGCGUACGCUCGGGGCCGUUGCAUUUAUAGCGGGGCUCGGGGUGGGGUGGGGUGGGGUCGGGCAGAGCGAAAAGGCGUGGCGAGCUCAGAAGAGUGUAGUAGCCACAAGCCCUCCUUGCUGACGUCACCAGUGACAUUUUGCGUUUACGUCCCUCGUGUUCGAAUUACGGACCAAAUUAAUUGGGUUAAGAAAAAUGCUACAUGUACGUUCCUCGUAUCAAUUACAAAUUAAUAUAGACGAUGAUAAAAAGACUAUGGUGUAUGACUCAUACAUCUAUAUCUGUAUUAUUAGUCUUACAAAUAGAGCCUUGCUCUUACAUUUAAUGCACUAUUCAUAAUUCACAACCUAAUAAGUUUUACGUACGGUUGGUAGCCGAAAUCUCUAAUCUCUGACCUGAUCAAAGAUCCUCCUCGAGGAGCGCGUCAGGAUGCGAAACGACUGUGAAUAGUGAUCCUCGAAGUUUGCGCCCUUCGAUUGAUCAAGCGAUUCAGCUAACGAGAGAACGGGUCAGCCAAAUUCGAAACCUUUACAGCAAAUUCGGUUCAGCUAGAUGAGCCGAAUGAACAAAAGAAGUCAGAAUUUCAGCCAAUGAAUGAGCCGAAUAGCUAAUACAGCACAUGAACUGGUCGGCCUGAAGAGCCGAACACUGCCUUCUAUUGAAAGAGAACGGAGAAAGUACAGGAAAGAGGGUUUUAGUCUACAGCGGAGUGAUGCCCAAAGGGCAGACAGACUCCAGAAUGCUAAGUUACAGGAACUACUCCUAGGGAAAGCAGUAAAUGCGAGAAAGAAAGAUGCAGGAAAAAUAAGGUUGGUCUUUUAUGCGCAGAGGUCAAGACCCUUUUUUCAGGAUACUAUAUGCCUAUUUAUAGAGUUGUCCCUGCGCUGGUUAUUGCCCUCGCACAAUCAGCCACUAUCUCCUGGUUUGUAGGACCACCUUCGGCCGAUCGGAACCGCUCGUAACAGCUUGCGGUUGCUAUAACUCCUUGAUCCAGCGCAGCUCAUGUAUCUUCUAGUGCGUCUGAUGUACUCCCGGUCCACCGUCUUAACCAUAUCAUGGAUAUGGACCCGGCGUGCCAGCUGUUCGUGCCGAAUUGGCUUAACUCCUACAUUUUAAUUUUGGGAUAAUUUCAUUAAUACCCCUCUGAAAAAUCAUAAUUUCAUGAAUAACCCUCCAAACUAAAAAAUAUCAUCAAUAUCCCUCUUAAAACCAAAAAUGUUCACAGAUACCCUUUUAGAUUAACUUUCCGUCAAGUGGUCAUCCAAUAUUUUAUAAAUACCAAUUUUACCCCUAGCAACAAUUUAAACAUAUAAUAUUUAAGAUUAAUUAUAUGAUCAAUUUUUAACAUUUGAAUCACAUAAUAAUUUAACAUUAUUUCUAAAAUAUUACAAUUAAAGAUCUAUAGUCUAUUAAGUGUGAUAGUUAAAUCUCAUUAUGAUUUUUCGCUUUUAAAUUAUACAUAGUUAUAAUGCAAUUUGUCUAUAGUAGAAUUCAACAUUAACUAUUUAAAGAUUUAUUUUUAAAAAUUUUAUUUAAAUAACUCACAUAUCUCAUGCUAAAAAUAUUUUGAUAUCAAAAUUCUCUAUAUUAGAGUAUUACUUAUAUGAUCUGCUCAAACAAAAAUUUUUUAAUUAAAAAUUUAUUAUUAACAAUAAAGUAAAAUUUUAUGAAAACUCUCUCAUCUAUAGUCCACUUCGACAUGAUCCUAACUUGGAAAAGCGUGAAAUUUGAUUUUCAGAUAGUUUAAAUGGUUUAUAUCAUGUUUAAUGAUGCCGAUUGUCAAUUUGAAAGUCCUAUCAUUGAAAAUAAAUCGUAGUAAAUCAAGCUGUACUACCGAUAGUAUUAUAACAAAACUCUCUCUAUAUAUACCCUCUCAACAUAAGUGUUUUUUUUUUAAAUUUUAGCAAUUGAGUGUUUUAUCCCAAUAAAAUUAAAAAUAUUAUCAAUUUCAUGUGAGGGAUCUCAAUUAAAUUUUUUUUAACUAAGUAAAGUCAAAAUAAAGAAAAACUGAUAAUUCAAGGUCUCUUAAUGUUAAAAAAUAAAACUUGAAGCAGUCUAGUUCAAAAUGAUCUAUAGGUGAGGGAUUUCUUUAUUUUUUACCCACUAAUAGUUAGUGUUAGAGAUGUUAUUUUUAAAAUUUAGAAGGGUACUUAUGAAAUUGCCCCUUAAUUAUUUGCUAUCAAAAUAACACCUAACCCUUUUAGAGCUAAAUUAGUCAUUUUGUAACUCAAUUUUUAUUUAACUAAACUUUAACUAUGGUUAUAGCAACAGUCGUUAAAAGGAAAGGUAAUUGUGAAAAUAUUUUGCAUUUGAAGGGGUUUAUAUGAUAUUUUUAACUUUAUAGAGAUAUCUACGAUAUUUACAUAUUUGAGAGGGGUAGUGGUGAAAUUGACCCUUAAAUUUUAGUCUUCGAUCUACAUAUUAUUUUCUUUCAUUUCAAUUAGAUUCUAAUAGUUCAAUUCAAAUAAAUUUUUGCCUCCUCUUAUAAAUUGCAAUCGUAAUUAGAAAGCUACUGACCAAUUCAAGCAUUAAUUAUUUUUAAUUUUUUAAACAGUUUGAUAAUACUUUUGUUGAUGUCAAGUAUACCAGGUCAAGAUACUUCAUAUAUAGAAGGCAAUAGCCAUCGUACGUAAGGUCUAAGUGAUUGAUUAUAGGCGUAUAAAAAAGUAUUGGCGUGAUAAAAUUAGGCUUCACGUGAAGUGGAGAAAGAGAUCGGGGAACCAAAGUUGAAUCAAAAUUAAAAAUAUAUAUAUAUAUAUAUAUUUUUAAAUAUAUAUUUUUUGAAUCAAAAUUAAAAAAAAUUCAGAUAAAAGUUGGAACCAAUGGUACAGUUAAUCCAAACUACUUUCUUAUUCAUGGACGAGAAUCUCAAGAAAGAAAAAAAACAAUUUCAAUUUUGAAUGUUUGUUGUAUUUUGUUUUGUGUUGUCUUUUUUUUUUUUUUGGUUAAUUUUGUAAGUUUCUACGAAUAAAAUUUGCAGAUUAAGUACCUGGAUGAUUGGGUGCGAAUAUAUGGUGCUUUAAUUGCAGAUUAAGUACCUGGAAUUUAGUAGACCUAAUGCAAAGUAUCCAACUUCAGCGUAUAAAUGUGAAAUUGAAUUAUAGAAAUCCUGAAAACGACAAAAUGAAAUAUUCACAACUAAAAUUAUUUUGGUAAUAAAAUUUAGACUUCCCACUAUUAAUAUAUAAUAAUAAAAAGUGGGAUUAUAUUUUUAUAUUUAUUUAUUUAUCUUAUAAUUAUUAUUUUAAGAGGACUCAAAUGAUCCUUCUCCGUAAUUUCACAACUUAGGCAUAGCAUAGCGUUGUACUUUUCCCAUCGAUGAGAGAUAAUCGAAGUUGUUGCUGAUGCAAGCAAUAACGCAAUACAUAUAUAUAUAUAUAUAAUCGAAGUUGUUGCUGAUGCAAGCAAUAACGCAAUAUAUAUAUAUAUAUAUAUAUAAUCGAAGUUGUUGCGGAUGCAAGCAAUAAACGCAAUAUAUAUUAUAUUAUACAUAUUUGAUUAGUUUGAGGACAUAAUUUAUUUUAUAUUAUUCAUUCAUUUAGCUACAAGUGAUCAAUUACCAAUAUUAAUUUUACGUGAAGCUUCUCUCAUUCGAUGUCUAAUGGAAGAGCUUAGAAGCUCUCCAUCUCAACCUACGAUUGGCGCAUAACUACAAAAACUCUUUUAUUUUAUAUCCCUUUUAUAAAAUUUGGAGCAAUUGGUUCUUUACACUGUAAUAUCAAUAUUUUAUCUUAAUUAAGACUCAAAUAAACUCACUCCAGUAUCAACAAAACAGUAAUUUAGCUUUUCAGUGCACUUCUCAAGUUUAAACCGAUAAAAUCUACAAUGAAAUGUUAUUAUGCAUGUUGCAUGAUAUGAACUCGAGACUUACAACACAUAACAACCAAACUUUUUGCGUGAAUAAUUUAGUACAAGUACAUAGGACUAAAUAAAAUUACACGCGAGGAUUGGAUGGGAGCGUGGAACUGAACGGUUCAUUUUGGGCUCUCUCCAUUCUAGUCCAAAACAAGAGUCACAUCAGAGAUGUGUGCGUCUGCAUUGCACCACCGUGCGUGUACGACACAAAAGCUAGCUCACGCCGUGUCCGUGUGUAACUUGAAUUUUUCUAUGUUUGAUUUGAAGAUCAAAACUAAAUUUAGUUUUAUUUGGAUUCGAAUUCAGAACUCAUAACAUGCACGUCAGGUGUUUUCAUGAGAUAGGUAUCUCAUAAUAUCAUUACGAGCAAUGCUUCAAUACUCCAUUGUAAUCUUAGCCGUUUAUUUUUAAUCAAUGAAGGGUUAAGAUUUAUGCAUAAAAAAAGAUGACCUGCUAUUGCACAAGAAGUAUCAGUCACCAGGUAUGUGAUGUAGAAAUUUUUUUGAAAAAAAAAGAGUUAAUAUUAAAAAAUUAAAUAAUUAAUAUUGAAAAGUUUUGCAUACUACCCUUAAAUCAUGGAGAGAAUAAAUUUUUAAUUAAAUUGUCCAUUUUUAAAGCCGAUUUUAAUAAUAAUUUAUGAUCGCAUUUGAGUCAUAAAUUUAGUAAUUUAUAAUUUAAAAUUAAUUUUCAAACAUCGAAACUUUAUGUUUAAAUAGUUAACAAAAUUUAUUUUUUAAGUAUAAUAUAAAUUAAAUCUAAAUUUAUAAUUUAAAUUUGAUCAAUAUUUUUGAAAUUUAAUGCUGUUUUUCAAUAUUGAAUUAACAAUUUCAACUUACUUUAAAAUGUAGAAAUCUUUUAUUUAAAUAAAUAAUAAAAGUUUAUAAAUACACUAUAACUUAAAUUACAAUUUUAAAGAUAGUAACAUUAAUUUUUGAACUUUCAUGUUAGUUUAAUAUUGAAUUGAUAAUUUGAAUUGAAAUGUUUACUCGUUUAAAUAUAAAUUUUUCUUUCUAAAAUUUAAAUUUAAUUUAUACAAUUAUAAAUACAAAGUUUAAACUCAAGUUAAAUUUUAAAUUCGAAUUUAUGAAGAUUUAUCACUUAUGAAAUUAGCCAUUAUCUAAGUUGGUAAGUAACAAAAUUAAAUUAGGAAAUGAAGAUUUGUUGGAUAUUAUCAAAUUUGGUAAUUAGCUAAUUGCAUAGUUUCAAAUAUUAUCUUUAUGAUUGAUUAGUAACCUGUUGAGCAGGUUAUUAUUGUGUAAAAGUCAAUCUUAACCUCAAAAAUUGGAUGGUCAGAUUUAAAUUGGCCGGUGUAUAGAAGUAUUUCUCUAUUAUUACAUGUCUUUAUUUAUUGUACUAACAUCAUAAAAAAUUUUGUUGGAGGAUAAUUUUAUAAGGUACAUGAUCACAAACCAACUAAAAAUACAUUCUAAUAUACCGACUUUUUCUAGCGCAAGUGGCAAAAGACUUGAUAAUUGGUAUUUGAAAUUCCAAGUUCGAAUUCUAAUUAAUUCACAUUUUCAGCUAAGUUUAUUCUUAAAUGAAUAAACGAAACGGAUAGCAUGCUAUCCAUCUCUCAAAAAUAAACAUUCUAAUAUAUAUAAAAAAAAAGGUGAUGUUCAUUUAAUGCAAUAAAAAAACAUUCUAACCGUGCAAUAAAAAACAUUCUAAUAUAGAAAAAAAAAAGGUGAGGUUCAUUUCAUGUAAUGGAGAUAUACAAAUUUUCUCUAUUACGGAGAAUAUGAAAUUCAAGACAUUAAGGAUGCAUUUGGUUCGCACUGUCUUUUUAAGAUUUUCGGUAAUUCAAUUCAAUAGGAAUAAGAAAAAAUGACGGUGUUUAGUUAAACGUACUAAAUAAUCUAACUAGUGAUCGACUUGAAAAUGUGAUUCAUCCCAAAGUACUAAGCUCAUUAUCUUGAUGAAGGAUAUGUAUCCUUAUAUUAAUAUAUUAGUAAUCAUAAUGUAUCUAAUAUUUUUCUUUAUUGCUAUCUGUCGACUAGUUGGUAUUAUUUUCUUUUACUCUCUAACCUUAUAUCUCUUUCUAAAUUUUAACUCAUUUUCUCUAAGUUAAACUCUCUUUACCCCUUUUUUUUUUCCUAAAAUUUCAACUCUCUUACUCUCUCUCUUUUUCUUUAAUUAUGCUCUCUCUCCGACAUGUGUUCUCUCUCUUUUUUUAAAAAAAAGAUGAUGAAUUUUUGAUAGCAUUAUUUAAAAUUAAUUAACGAAACAAUACAUUAAUUGUAUAUUUUUCGUAAUCUAAAAUUAAUAAUAUGACUAAAUAAUAUUAAUUACCGUGCGAACCAAAUACCGAAAUGUCACUUUCUUAGUAAUAGGAUGAGUAGGAAUAAGAUUCUUUGAUAUUUUUUUAUUCCUAGUAAUCUUUCAUUAUGCGAACCAAACAUGUUCUAAACCCAAUCAAAUGAGUAAUAAAAGUCAUUGCAAAUUAUAAAUCAUUUAAAUAAUUGAUUUAUCGAUCCAAUCCACUGGUUUGGAUGCUACCAAACAAAUGAAGGGUAAGCCUCUGUUGGACUAAUUGGGGUUCAAUUGUUGGAAUCGUCCUAGGCCCAUUGCAUCUAUUUGGCCUUUAAAACUCAGCCCAAUAAAAUGGAGCACAAUCGAACUUGUCAACGUUUAGGCCCAAUAGUGGCCCAAACAACAAGUACGAAGUCAAAAACGUAAAUAGAGAUGGAAAGAACCCUUCAUCUCUCUCUCUCUCUCUCUCUCUCUCUCUCUCUCUGCGUUCUCGGGAGCUCUCUCUUCGUUCUCGAGAGCUCGGCAAUGGCGUCGUCGUCCCCGGACCUCCUCUUCGGCCUUCGCAAUAGCUUCUACCUCGGCGCCUACCAAGGCGCGAUCAACAACAGCGACAUCCCCAACCUCGGCCCUGACGACGCCAUCGAGCGCGACUCCAUCGUCUACCGCUCCUACAUAGCCCUCGGAUCCUACCAGGUUUCCCUCCAUCUCCUCCUCCUACUUCGAUCGAUCCCCCUUUCUCUCAUCUCCUCCUCGGUCUCUUCGAUUGACCCCGUAAAUUUGUGAUCUCUGAUCGGAUCUCGCCGCGUUUCGAUGCAGCUCGUGAUCAGCGAGAUCGACUCGUCCGCGCCCACCGCGCUUCAGGCCGUGAAGCUUCUCGCGCUCUACUUCGCCGGAGACAAGGUUGGUUGAUUUGCGGGUGCCAGAUCUAGUAUAGUCUGUUAGAUCCGGAUCUGACGGGAUCUGUAUGUUACGAAUUGCGACUUACUUGAGUUCAGUUUUGUGAUCCAAUGCUUGUUUUCGAUUAAGUGUUGUUUAAAUGCCCUAGAUUUCAGAGUGUUGAUCCUAAUUUUGAUCUACUUUAGUGAUUUGAAGUUUGGUUUCAAUUGAAAGCAGGAGCGUAUAGUAUUUUUGGUGCUCUAGAUCUCAGAGUAUUGAUCUUUGUGCGUUCCAUUUUUAUCCAAUUUAGUGAUCCAAAGCUUGGUUUCAGAGCGUGGGCGUAGUGUAGUUUUGAUGCCUUAGAUUUCAGAGAUCUGAUCUUAGCGCAUUCCACAUUGAUGAAUAUCGCUUUGAUGUUCCGCGGAUCACAUCCCAACUGGCUGAUUAGUAUGAGUAGGUAGCAAGACAGAUAUGUGCCUUCUUGGAUCAUCCUCUUUCUUUCAGGCCUUAUGCUUCAAUCUUGAAUAUCUAUUAAACUGAGAAUUACAAGGUGCUCUGGUAUUACCAAACGUUUGUUAUUUAAGCAGACCUACAGAACCGUAAUGUAGUAACUAGUUGGUAAAGGAAAUAUUUAACCUUAGUUUCUAUGGAGUGUUUCUAGAGCCACCAUAACUUGUUAUAUGUAUAUAAAUAGUUGCAUCACACUUGGACAUCCUACGUAGAAAAUUAGAAGAGAAACAUUCUCCGUGAGCUCUUAUAAUUUGGGUUGAAGUAGUUCAUAUACCGUAUAGCUAAUGUAAUCUGCGCUCUGUAUGUCAUUGCAAUCUCUUCUGCUCAUUCAGUUGUUCAUUAAAAAGAUUAAAUUUUCAGUAUAAUUUAUCCUGUAUUCUUUCCCGUCAAAGUGGUUCUGUAAAUAUCUGAAGCUGAUUGAGUUUUCCCUGGUUUUCUUUAAAAGGAAGCUGCAAUUUCUGGUCUCCAAGAGUACUUGAGUGAUUCGGCCAUAGGAAACAAUCCUGUUCUGCGACUAAUUGCAGGGAUUAUAUAUAUGCAUGAGCAAGACUACAAUGAGGCUCUCAAGCAUACCAAUUCUGGAGGAACUAUGGAAUUGUGAGUUUUUAUUUCUCAUUAGUGUUUGCAAGAAAUAACUUUCUUCCAACAAAGGUCUCAAAUAUUGCGGUGCAACUGAAUAUAGAAAGUAAACAAAUGCUCCUAUUGUUGUGGAGAAUGAUAAUCAGGGGUCAAUAACAAAAUUAGUUUCCAUCCCAAUUGGAUGAAAUAGUUGUUUCGCACCAGUUUUCCUUUGACGCGUUUGGCGGAAUAUGUGGAAUAAUUUUUGUGUCAACCCAGUGUUAUUCACUAACUAAUCAGUGCCGAGUGAUGGCUAAUCUAUGAAAACUUUGUUCUAGGAGACAAAUUAAUUUCAUUAGUUUGAUUCAACUUCUUCUUUGCAGGCAUGCAUUGAAUGUACAAAUUUACAUUAAGAUGUAUCGGUCAGACUAUGCAGAGAAACAACUUAAGGUCAUGCAACAAAUUGAUGAAGACCAUACACUGACUCAACUUGCAAAUGCAUGGCUAGACCUAGCUGUGGUAAAACUCUUUUCACUAAUUUAGACAUGUUUAUAGAGAUCUCAGCUGUUUUAAUAUUGAUCAUAGUGUUUUGCAAUGUUAGGGUGGAUCUAAGAUACAGGAAGCAUAUCUUAUCUUCGAAGACUUCUCUGAAAAGUAUCAGAUGACUGGGAUGAUACUCAAUGGGAAGGCAGUUUGCUGUAUGCACAUGGGGCGAUUUGAUGAAGCUGAAACUCUAUUGCUUGAAGCGCUAAACAAAGUAAGAUUAGAACAUCCUUUUCUUCUUCUCAAAAACUGUUGAAAGCUAAUUUUACAGCCAUAAAACUAAGAGAAUCUUGUUUUUACCUUUAAUAGGAUGCGAAAGAUGCAGAAACUCUCGCGAACCUAAUUGUGUGCAGUCUCCACCUUGGCAAAUCCUCAUCUCGAUACUUCAAGUGAGUGAACAAUGUAUUAUGUAUUAAAAUUAGGAAGAUAUGCAUCACCGUCUCAGUUUUCUUUUUUUUUUCCUUUGUGCCAAUAACUGUACGUUACUGGCAUUUCGUGGCCGGUUUCUUCUCAUAGUUUCCUUCUAAAUUUAUCAUGCCACACAAAUCAUAUAUUGCUUGCUUAUUUCCCUGUUUUGCUUCUGCAGCCAGCUGAAGCUGUCGCAUCCCGAUCAUACGCUCGUCAAGCGUGCCGCCUCUGCCGAAGAUAGCUUUGACAGAGCUCUUCAAGCUGUCGCAUAAAGCCUUUGUUAUUUCAGCUCCUCAAGGGGAUGCAACAUAGCUUCUGCUUUUUUAAUGCACCAUUUUGAAUCCGCCUUACACUGUUGCUUUCUUAAUCAUGUCGCGUAAUGUUACAUUGAAUUGAAAAGAUGUAGUCUGUUUGUCCUUUUCGACAUUUCUUAUGCCUUUGUUAGAUCAUUAUGUCCAAGUCAUGGAGCUUAAAGUGUUUUUUUUUUUUUUCCUGUAUUAGAAAAUUAUCCCCCUUUUUUAAUGAGUCUCUCUGAAAAUUGUAUUCUUUGUAAUCCGUCACUGCUGCUGCUGAUCAAGGUAGCUGUAAGUUGGCCUAUAAUUAGUCAUGGUUUGGUCUGAUUUUUAUUUCUUGGUGUUUUACAACUGGCCAAAGAGAAUCUGGUGAAGCAGUUCUUCAAUUUUUUUUAUUUUUUUAUUUUUUUAUUUUUGCUUUUUUGUUGUUUUUUUUAUGAAGAACCUUUGUCGAGUCGACGUGAAUGAAUGAUGGGCUAAAAAUAAACUCAUUCACUGCUAUUGCUAAUUUUUGGUCUACUAUAACUUCGAGCCGAGGGGUAUGUGACUUUUUUUUUCCGUCCAAAACGGAAAAAUGGUUCAAAUUUGGAAGUUCAAUUACCUGAAUUAUGAUUGUCUGAUCCUAUGAUUAUGAACCAAGUGUAGACUCUGGCUAAAUGGCCUCAUAAAUCUGGUGAUAAGAUGCUUCCACAUCCUGUAUGCUGUAAGUAUAUGCUAUUUUGAAUCUACAAUGUUUCAAUUUGAAGAAGGAAAUAGGGAAAAAAAAAAAGAAGAAAAAGAUAAGGGUAAAUAUUGCAUAAGAAGUUCACAGAAUACAUAAUUUUGAUAUUGGACUAUUAUUUUUUGUUUUUUAUCUUUCACAGAGGAUAAGCACUCACGAAGAACAUUGUUGAAUGGCGCUACGCAAACUCGAGAACGAGGUACAUAAAACCAAACCUUCAGGAGCAAUCUUCACCUAUGCAGGGGCACUUGUAGCUCGACGGCAGGCGCUUGCCGCAGUCCGCGAGCAUCUGGAGGGUGAUGGGGAGGAGCAAGUCCACGUCCAUGAGCUUCAACCGGAUGGCCAUGCACAGGCAUACGGCGGCGUCCAUGCCCAUCAACCACUUGAUCACAGGGCAGCAUGCCUCCUUCGCCUUCUUCCCGAUCCCGACGUGGACUAGCCCAUCAAGGAUGUCGACGCACAUCCCGAGCUUGAGCGCGUUUAUCGGGCACUUCUUUGGCGGGGAGGGCGCAGGGGCAGGCGAAGGCGACGGGGGGUGUGGCUUCGGUGAUGGAUGUGGCGACGGAGGUGAUGGUCGCGAUGGUGGCGGCGACGGUGUUGGUGUCGGUUUCUCAAACGCGAUUCGCCGGCAAUCGGGACAUGGAAAGAGAGAAAAGAGUGGAGCUUGGAGCACAAGCAGAAUGAGUAAGACGGUGGCCACUGCAUACCUCCCCAUGCUUUUGCAGAGAAGUGCAUGAGGUUUUGGCAUGUAGUAUUUAUAGGCACGAAAUGCAUAGGAGUGCAUGCAUUUGUUAUGCCUUUGUGUUUCCUGAUACAACUAAACUAGCUUGUUGAGCCUCUGGGGCUUUAUCCUUUUCCUUCUCCGUAGUAACUUGCAGUUUUAUGCUUUCCUACUGAAUCUCUUACAAACAACCCACAAAAUACGUGGAAGGAGAUAGAAAUUUAAUAUGCUGUUCACAAGUCACAACACAGAUGUAAAGAUGAAGUAAGAGCCUAUUCAGCCCAAUGAUUCAAACAUCGCGAAAAGAACCGAAUGAAUUUUUAAGGGAGAGACCAAAUACAACGCAGAUCCACCGGUUCAUAAGAGCAGUACUGUUAAAAACUAACACAGAUUCAGGUUCCGGUUAUGGAUUCGUAUUUUUCGCUCAGCAUAGCUGAAAAAAGAUGGCUAAUUUUGAGUGGUUCGUGAAUAACUGCGUUUACGGCAUCCGCCAUUUCGUUUGGACAUCUAUACCCAUCAGUGUUCAUGUAGCAUAGGUGAAGUAUUCUGCACAUAUUCCAAAAUGGGUCCUUGCAAGGUCUUGGAAUUGCACCUCCCUCCUUCAGCACCGGCCUUAGUAAUUCCUCUCGACAAGUUUCGUCGGAUCUCCGUACCUCCCUUACCGCGUCUUCGACGGAGGUGGAAGGGCUGCCGUGAAGCACGCGGAGUGAGAUGCUAUUCAACUUCCCUUCAUUGCCUUCUCUCUGCACCAAUUUAAAGAAACAGGUCUGGAGUAGUUCAUAAGUAAACUUUAUUAGGAUAGGAUGGAAAUUCGCUUCCUCCAAUCUAUUUGUGUUACUAAAUUUUGCACUUACUACUUGGAAUUACAUCGUAACCUUGCAGGUCGUUUAAAAGACGGCCGCAUGUGCUUACAAGUCUGAACAAUUCAUGGUAUUCUGGAUCUGCGACGGCCUCAUCCGAAAGCUUUGGACCAACAAAGUAGAGAGCCACCGACUGUCCCUAAAGCAAGUGGCAAAGGGUUUGGUGGUUGAUAUUCGAGAUCCCAAGUUCGACUCCUACUUGAUUCAUAUUUUUAGUUAAAUUUAUUUCUAAAUAAAAUAACCGAAGCAGGUAGCGUACUAUCUAUCUCUCUCUCUCUCUCUCUCUCUCUCUCAAAAAAAAAAAAAAAAAAAAAAAAAAAAAAAAAAAAAAAAAAAAAAAAAAACCGUAGAGAGCCGGGAGAAUGAUGGGGUCCAAAGCAAAGGAAACAAAUCCAUUUUCCAUGUACUGCUCUAUCGUGGGCACCGUUUUGUUCCUCAGACACUCCGCCUCGUUCAUCAUGGACCGAAAUAAGCUAAGCCACUGUCGUUUGCAUCGCUAUAUUCUGGGAGUCGUAAGUUCUUUUGAGUUUUUGUUAUUACAAGGUAAAAAUAUACAGAUCUCAGUUGAACUGUAGAAUACUUUAAAAGUUCAUUACCCAACGUCUAAAUUUAUUUAAUUUAAAUCAGUGGACGACACUUUUGAGUCAUUAACUUUUUCCCUUCUUUGUAAUAAUUUGCAGUUUUAUUGUUUCAUACUGAAUUUCUUACAAAUAAACCCACAGAUACGUAAAAGCAAGAGGAAAUUAAAAUACAUUCACAACACAGAGGUUAAAAAAAAAGAAAGAAAUAAACAACACAAAAAUUCAAACAACAUGAAGAGAAACCAAACGAACUUUAAAAAGACCAAAUCAGAUAGAGAUCCAGAGCUAGGUUCUCGACAGUAGUACAUUUUUUUUUUUCUAUUAAGAGAUUUUAAUGAUAAUGACAUAAUUUAUCGAUGAUGAGCAGCUCUUGGCGACCCAAUAUUUUCGAUUAUAGACAACAAAAUACACAUUGAUUCAGCUCCUGCUAGGAACAACCAAAUCACACGGAUUCAGGUUCGAGUUUGGAAUUUGUAUUCGUAUUUUCGCCGGGUACAGCUGACAAAAGAUGGCUAAUUUUGAGUGGUUCAUGAAUAACUGCGUUCACAGCACUCACCAUUUCCUUUGGAGACGUAUAUCCAUCAGUGUUCAUGUAGAAUAGGUGAAGUAUUCUGCACGCCUUCCAAAAUAAGUCCUUGCAGCUUCGAGGAAUUACAGAUCCUUCCUUCAGCACUAGCCUUAGCAAUUCUCUCCGCGAAGUUUCGACAGAUCUCUUAAUCUCCAUUUUAGCCUCUUCUAUGGAGGCGGAAGAGCCGGCCUGAAGAACGAGGAGAGAGACGCUGUUCAACUUUCCUUGUUUACCUUCUCUCUGCACCAGUUUGCAGUAAUAAGCGUCCAAAUGAUAAUGAUUAAAAACCACAAGGAGCUUGAAGAGAAAGUGGGGGAACAAAAUUAAGGCUCUAAUAGGACGGGAAUUCGCUUCCUCCAAUCUAUUUGUGUUACUAAAUUUUGCACUUCCUCCAAUCUAUUUGUGCUUACUAAAUUUCGCACUUCCUCCAAUCUAUUUGUGCUUACUAAAUUUUGCACUUACUGCUUGUAUUACCUCGUAACUUUGCAUGUCGUUUAGAAGACGGCCGCAUAUGCUCACAAGUCUGAACAAUUCAUGGUAUUCUGGAUCUGCAACGGCCUCUUCCGAAAGCUUUGGACCAACAAAGUAGAGAGCCGGGAGAAGGACGGGGCCCAGAGCAAAGGAAACAAAUCCAUUUUCCAUAUACUGCUCUAUUGUGGGUGCCGUUUUGUUCCUCAUCCACUCUGCCUCUUCCAUCAUGGUCCUUAUCGCGCUAAGCCACUGUCGUUUGCAUUGCUAUGCGUCAAAGUCUUUUCAAGAUAAAUGGUUCCCGGUUUAAAUUGAGACACAGGUUAUUCCUACAAUACAUAUAUACCCUGUAAAAUAUGAAUUCUCAUACAAUCUGAAUUGUGAAAAAGUCGGUUUUGUAUUUGCAAAAAGAUUUUCUGAAGAGAAGCAUCAUAGCAAGGGUUGUAACAUGCUUUUGGAAUGGUGCAUGUGAAAACUCGCAUAUUGCAGGGAUUUACAGGCGAUUUUGCAGGGGAAUAUAUGUAAAUGUCUGAAUUCGGUAAGUUGUAAGAUCUCACUAUUUCAACUAGGUGGCCGGUGACGCUGCGAUUUUGUACUACUGACGCCUUAGCUCCAAGCUCAUUGAUUGUGCUGUAAACAGCAGAAAACAAAAUCUCCACGUGCUCAGAGCAGAACUCCUUUUCGUGAUUUCCAUCCCAUCUGUCACAAGUACAAAGGUGCACUUUAAGUAAAUAAUGUGUAAAAUAAUCUCAGAAGAACAGCGGAUCAUUAGUAUAAGCAAGAAAAAUCGUACUUCUCAACUAAACUGAUGAGGUUUUCUAAUUCUUCUCUUGAUCCACCUACGUCGAAGAAGUCGUCAACCACAGUGGUGAGCAGACUAUUUUUGGUCCAUGACAUGCGAGCAUCGGUUAAUUCAGGAGGAUAUAAAGUAGCGGCAGCAGAGAGGUAACAGUAUGUUAGCUUAUCCCGAGCAAAUCCUAGCUGAUCCAACCUGUUUUCUCUGACCCAGCUGUUAAAAUCACAAAUUUAGAUUAGGAAAGCACAAUGCUGGCGUUAAAUGUAAUAAAAAUAAGGAACUUGCUUUUGCAUGCGCACUUAACAAAAGCAUAUUUGUGAAGGAAAGUGAGUGGAAGGGCAUAUAGGCACAUAUUGGAUAUUCAAAGGACAUUGGCAACAAUUUCAACUUAAGAAGGGUCUGCGAGCAAACGUGUUUAUUUCGAGAGAUAUUUAUGCAACAAAAUAACCCUAAAAAGAGAAUCCAUAAGAUGGACAGACCUCUGAAGAUGUUGAAGUUCUUUCUGAUAUAUAGACUGACAACUACUGAAAUCUUCAAUUGCCAAUUUAAGAAGAUCAUCAGAAGUGCAGAAAGACCUGAUACAGUUCAAAAGCAAAAAUUACUGGCAGAAAUCCAAAAAUCAGAAAAAAAAAGGUUUUAUCCUAUUUAUGAUUAAAUUCUUACUUAUAUGAUGUUUUGAGAAUCUGAUAAUUGGCAACAUCAAAGUUCUCGAUGUUUCUCUUGUGUUCUAAGCGUUCCAAAUUGGCGUAAAAGGGAAAUUUAAGAACAUAAUCUGCCUGAAAAUAUAAAAUAGAAUUAGUUUCAACUCUCAAUCAGACAACUAAAAUUUUUUUUUCCCCAAAAAACAUAUUAAGACUAUCAAAUACCUACCUCUUGGGAGAUAACUCGGGAAGAAUGUUUUGAAUUAGAAGAUACUUCCUCUUUUAGGAAACUACUGGACCAGGAACCCAGUUUAUCUAAGACUUGUUCACAGUCCAGGAUUUUAAUCUGUGAUGCCUUGUGAAAUUCUAGAACAGUUUUCAUAUCUUUCAGAUAUCCUUGCACGGAAUUAUGGAAAUUAUGCCCAUCUGCACAAUCGUCAGCAAUAGAUUAAAAACCCAUGGGCAUAAAAUACAUAUGUUGAUAACCAAGAUUCAGAAAGCUAGUUCCUUCGGGGCCCGAAUUACCUGAAGAAACAUCAUAUCCGUUCAUACGCAAAAGACGAAAUGCCAUAGCACACGCCGUCAUAUCUGAACUAAGUUCCUCAUCGUUCUCCAACCAGCAUCUGCAUAUUUAGAUGACGGCAGCUUGUAAAAUCUAGAGAUAUUGCACACAUCUCAACUUAAGGGUAUUUUUGUAAGGAACUCCACUCUAAAUGGGGUGUAUAAAAAUUAAGAUUAUAACAAGGGGUACGUAUGUGUAAACAGAUCAUUUUGCAGAAAUACCUCUAUAUAUAUUUCUAAAACUGCAAUUCAUAUUUAGAAGCUAUUUCUAGCGUAAUACCUGUAUAUUCUGUCCAAGAUGGUCUUUAUCUCAUAAGCAAACAGCCGAGAAAUUCCCAACUUUUCAAGAGUGUCGACCAUGCAAAGCUGCGUAUGCAUCUCAAACGGAUAAACGGUAGGAACUGCAGAAAGGAAAAUGAUAUUAGAAAUACCGUAGCAUUUCCACAUAUGCGACAGACAAAAUUUAUCGAUUAGAGAGUAGAAUCGAAUCCACCUGAGCUGCCAAACCGCCGUAAAAUAGCAUGCAGGUAGUCAAGAGCUUUAACAUCAUAACGAUGGGUCAAUGCGACAGCUGUUGUUGCAGGUGAAUUGAACAACGAUCCGUUCUUCCUCUGAUACUUCAUAACCUCAUUCCAGUCCUGCAAAUUCCCUAAUCCUUCGGAUACAUACGCCAUGUACGCUUUUCGUCCCUCGGAAUUGUUUGCAGAAUCCCUAAAAAAUCAAUAAUACCGAUCACAACAUAAAUGCCAUUUACAAAAAAAUGUGCAUCCUGAGUGAAAUUAAUGAUAUAAGAUUCUGUUAAAUAUAAAAAUGUUUAAAUACCGUUCUCUAAUAGCUUAAGUUCUUAGAGUAUAACGGUUGUUUCACAGAUUCAAACAAAAUUUACAUUGGAAUAACCAGGGAGCCUGACCUUUUCAAUUCUAAAUCUCGAAGGCAAAGAAUAUCCUGAAUAGCAUGCUGUCUUAUGGGAAUAUCUAAACCCAAAUCGAUUGCACGUUCAAGCAUGCCAGGGAAAAUGAUAUUGAAGCCGACAGGAGACUGAUAAUUCUCAUCCAUAAUACAUGACAAAUUAGAUCCAAUAUAAUGUAGCCCUGCAAUAAGUCGAAAAAAAAUGAAGCUUCUUAAUCCAUUGAGCAAAACACAAUGUUAAUGAGUAAAUGUUCUGUUUCCUAAUACCUCUUCUUACGUGCUCUUCACCGACAUUCCAUCGCUUGAGCGCGAGUACACUUGCCAAUGUGGAAGAUAGAGCAUCUUUAAUCAAAGAGGGAUGGAUAUGGUCAAGUCCCCAGGAUCCAUUAGAAUUUUGAUUUUGUAACAUCCAAUCGACGCACUGAGGGAAGCACGGAGUUUGAGGAGAUCCAGGAGAAGGGACCAUGGCAACCCAUGCCGUGUCAUAUGAAGAAACUGAAUAUUCGACCUUACUUAGCUGCUCCCUUAUUCGUUUCUCCGAUUCCCUGGAACACUACAGCCACGUCUAAUAAGAUGCUUAAUUCAACCACAAAUUUAUUGUAUGGAGAUUUCAAAAUAACAUGGGAUCAAUAAAUCUAAUACCGUUACUGAGAGGUUCGCGCUGCUUUCUUCUUUCCCAUCAUCCCAAUUUGCUGUAUAUGAAAACGAAGCAUUCGGCAAUCAGCAAAAGAGAAAUAAAUGUAACACCAGAGCAAGUGAAAUAUGCAAAUGUCUUUUCGUAAUUAUUCCAACCAACCUAAUUAGAAGUUGUCAUGAUAUAACUAGAUCUAACACAUGCUGCAAUUUGAAGAUAAUCUCAUAUUUGGCAUUUAACAUAUUCUCCUUAAAAAAAAAAUACACAACUUUAAGGUAUCGUUUGGUUCGGGGAUAAGCAAAAAAUGGCUAUUCCAGGGAUAGGUAUAAAUUGAGGUAUAAGCGGGGAUUAGAUCAAUUUUGCGUUUGGAUGAAAAUUGGGUAAUUGCUGUGAAUAAAAGAAAUAGCGUUUGGUUAGGUAAAAUAGAAUAAGAAGGAUAGUGGGUUUUAUAAAUAAAAAGUAAUGAUAUUAUCCUCUUAUUAUAUUUGAAUUUGAAUUUUUAAAAUUUUAAAUUUAUAUUUUUAAAUUUAAAAUUUUAAAUUUUAAAAUUUGAGAAAUUUGAAAUUUAAAAUAACAAUUUUAAAUUUUAAAUUUCAAACUUUAAAUUUAAGAUCAAAUUUAAAUUUGAAAAAUAUAAAAAUAAAUUUUAAAUUUCAAAAAUAAAAUAUCAAAAUUUCAAUAUUAAAAUUUAAAAUUUAAAUUUAAAAUUAUAAACUUUAAUUUGAGAUUAUAAAUUAUAAAUUUUAAAAUUUAAUUUUUUUUUUUAAAAUUUUAAAUAAGAAUAAGGGUGGGAACUUAAUUAAUAAAUAAUUUACUAUAAUAAAUUUAUAAAUUUUUUAAAAUUCUAAUCAAACUUAAUUUAUAAAGGAAUUAUUAUAAUUUUAUUAUAAUAUUUAAAUAUAAAUAAUAUGUAUUAAUAUAGUACAAUUAAUAAUUUUAUAAUAAAAAUAAUGUAUUAUAUAUAUAACAUAGUGAUAAUUGCCUAUAUACCCUUCAUGCGUUCGGAAAUAUCGAUCUACCCCUACUCUUUUUUUUCUUUCUAAAAUUGUCCUCAUACGUUCCACCGUUAUUCCAAAAUACCCCCGCAGUUUAUCCCCUGUUAGCUUAACUCGGGUUAAACAUGGGUUAAUACUAUAUAGAGUUAAAACCUGACAAAAUACUAUAUUUGCCCCUACUUUAUUAUAGUAAUCCCUAAAGAUGUAUCCUCUUUCUUCCCAAUUUUGUCGCCACCACGGCCGCGCUCCUCCGCCUCUACUCACCUCCUCGCCUCAUCUCCUCCCAAACCACCACACUCCCACACCUCCACUCCAACACACCCAUCUCGUCGUCUCGUUGUCCUCCUCCGCCGCCGCUCUCGUCGUCGCCGUCGUCCUCUUCCUCCGCCGCCUUGGCCGGCGCCGGGAGCAAGAGGGCCGCAGCGACGAUCCCAUCUCUCGCCGCUCUCGUCGUCCUUCUCCUCAUCCGCUGCCUUGGCCGGCGCCAGGAGCAAGAGGGCCGCAGCUCCAUCGGACCCCUGCACGCCUUCUGCUCCGGAUCCGGCUGAAGGGUAAAUAAGAAAAGUAUUUGCUAUAUGAAGGGUAUAUAAGAAAAGUUUGUUACGGUACAAGGGUAUAUUGGAAUGGGCAAAAUGGUAAUUUUUCAGAGCUAACGGCAGCUCACUAACGGAACUUAACUCUAGGGGUAUUUUAGAAAAACUUGGAACAUAAGAAGGGUAUUUUCAAUAUUAGCCUUCUAAGAGGGGUAAAUAAGAAAACGGAGAACUUUUCAGGGGUAUAUAGGCAAUUGCCCCUAUAACAUAUUAUAUUUAUAUAAUUUAGUUUGCUUAAUUUAUAAUUUUAAUUAAGUUUGAAAUUAAGCAUUGGAAUAGCACUAUUCCACCAAAAUGGUGGAAUAGCAUAUUCCUUGCUAUUCCGGAAUAACUGGGAAUAGCAAGAUUUGACCGGAAUAAAAUAUUCCGGCCAUAUUUCAUCCCGUUUGGUGGAAUAGCGGGGAUGUUAUCCCCGCUUAUCCUCCGAACCAAACGGGGCCUAAUUGUCUUAUUGAGACAAAUGUAAAUAAUAUAAUUUAAUGCCACAUUUACUUGUAUAAUAGCAACGGUUGAAUAUCAAUAUUAAAAGCACCAUAUUCUCUUACAGAAGUAUUUCAUAAUCACAACGAUGGAAAAGCAGUGUUAGUAUAUUUCAAAAAAACUAUACAUGAGAUGCAGAACAGAACGCAUCACAUAUCCUUUCAUACACAAAAAAAUUUAACUUAAAAAAUGGUUCUACCUGACGAAACUCGCGGAAGAGAUGCUCUAACUGUUUUUUUAGCUCUAACUCUAGAAAUUUGAAUAUCUGAAGAUCGGAUGCAGCACAGGGGAAAUGAGAGAGCAUUUAACGACAUGGCCACUCAGGUUUAUGUGAAAUUAAUGGUGAUCUGCGACGAGAUAGCAGCAAACUAAGAGGCAUCAAAAAAUGAUUAAGAAUUUUCGAGAAAAAUACUGCAGGAAAAAAGAAAGCAUAGCUAGAAGAAAGAAUCCAACCAAUUAAGUAAACGAAAAUUAAAGUAACUCAAUUAAGGAUAGACUAAUCAAAGUAAAUCAAACUAAUUAAUGCGUCGAUAAUAAAAGGUGACAAAAAUGUACAUGAACCCUCUCGUUGUCCAUUUUACUUGUCGUUAGCAUUCCUUCGGUUUUUACUUCUUAAUUUCCAUUGAAGUUUUUUCUGUAAACCGGUUGAUUCAAGUUUUGUAUAAUGUUUUAGAAAUAUUGUAUAUUUUAUUACUUUGUAUUUAAAAUGACAAAUUCGUAACUAACGUAUCAAGUCACUUGGUUACGUGUCAACGACCCGUAGAUAAUAGAGCUAUUAAUUUUUACAGAACCCCAAUAUAAAUAGAUAGAAUGAUUCAAAUAAAAAAAAAAAAUUAAAAGUUGAGAGGUUUCGAUAAUUAGAAAAGAAAAAGUAAAACUAAAAUUUGCAUGUUCUAAAAGCUCUAUACAUGCGUCCAUGGCCAAGGAGAGAGAGAGAGAGAGAGAGAGAGAGAGAGAGAGAGAGGUUGCGGCGCUACCUGUUUAAUUUGUGUUCACUACCAAAGAGUAAACGGAGUGGCGAAGAAGAGAGCCUGAGGGGUAAAUAAAACAAGGUGGGGUGUGUAUAUAUACAGUGUACUAUCAGUAGCACGGAGCGCUCCGUUAUGUUCGCUUAAAUGGGCCAGCAUCCUGCCUUGUGGCAGGAGGUCAUGUGGGCCCGAGUCAUGUUCGAAAUGGCAUGAGGCUAGGUGGGCCGAGUCAUGUUCGAAGUGGCGUGAGGCUAGGUGGGCCGAGUCACAAUCGAGACCCGUGGGCGCUGUUUCUGUACGCUUUAAGUGAAUUGGUUGCGUAUUUCUAACAGCUCGAGCUUUUGGGAUUAAUGGUUAGCGUCAACAAUCCGACAAGUUGUAUCAGAGCCAGAGCUCACAGAUUUAAUUCCUGCAUGCUGCAAAUGUGCGCAGGUGCUGGAGGGGGGAUUGUUGGCUUAAAUGGGCCAGCAUCCUACCCUGUGGCAGGAGGCCAUAUGGGCCGAGUCAUGUUCGAAAUCGCGUGAGGCUGGGUUGGGCCGAGUCAUGUUCGAAGUGGCGUGAGGCCAGGUGGGCCGAGUCACAAUCGAGACCCGUGGGCGCUGUUUCUGUACGCUUUAAGUGAAUUGGUUGCGUAUUUCUAACAGCUCGAGUUUUUGGGAUUAAUGGUUAGCGUCAACAAUCCGACAAGUUGUAUCAGAGCCAGAGCUCACAGAUUUAAUUCCUGCAUGCUGCAAAUGUGCGCAGGUGCUGGAGGGGGGAUUGUUGGCUUAAAUGGGCCAGCAUCCUACCCUGUGGCAGGAGGCCAUAUGGGCCGAGUCAUGUUCGAAAUGGCGUGAGGCUGGGUUGGGCCGAGCCAUGCUCAAAGUGGCGUAAGGCCAGGUGGGCUGAGUCACAAUCGAGAUCCGUGGGCACUGUUUCUGUACGCUUUAAGUGAAUUGGUUGCGUAUUUCUAACAGCUCGAGUUUUUGGGAUUAAUGGUUAGCGUCAACAAUCCGACAAGUUGUAUCAGAGCCAGAGCUCACAGAUUUAAUUCCUGCAUGCUGCAAAUGUGCGCAGGUGCUGGAGGGGGGAUUGUUGGCUUAAAUGGGCCAGCAUCCUACCCUGUGGCGGGAGGCCAUAUGGGCCGAGUCAUGUUCGAAAUCGCGUGAGGCUGGAUUGGGCCGAGUCAUGUUCGAAGUGGCGUGAGGCCAGGUGGGCCGAGUUACAAUCGAGACCCGUGGGCACUGUUUCUGUACGCUUUAAGUGAAUUGGUUGCGUAUUUCUAACAACUCGAGCUUUUGGGAUUAAUGGUUCGCGCCAACGAUCCGACACGUUAUACUUGAUCUAUACUAUUAAAAGUAUUUAGAAACUAAAUAAUUUUUCGAUACCAUUUGAAAUACCUAUCAAACAAGUAGUCUAAAAUUGAACGGCUGAAAAUAAAAAUCUCAUAAAAAAUGAUGAUAAAAGAUUUAAAUUCAAGAUCAGAUAUACUGAUCUUACUCUAAAUAGUGAAAAGAAUUUUUCAUAAAAUUUUCAUCAGAUUUGAAUUGUUUUACACCGUUAAACUCUCAAACACACCACAUCGGCCAUUAAAAUUGUCAAUUUUGUGAUCUUUUGAUCACUAGUCAAAUGAUGUCGAAAAAAAUCUGAAAUUUAGUUUUCAAAUACUUUCAAUAGUGUAGAUCAGGUUUAACGUAAUCGAUCGUCGAUUUGAAAGUCGCAUCAUCAAAAACAACUUGGUAGUACGGAGCGCUCCGUGCUACCGACAGUGUAGUAGCCGGACUUAUAUAUAUAUAUUAUUAUUAUUAUUAUUAUUAUGUAUAUAAUGAUGGGAUUGGAUUUGACUUCGACUUUGCCUUUAGAAAGAGAUUUAGUGAGUAUCCAAGUAGAAUUGGAUUUAGUCUAAAAAAUAAAAAAAUUCGAUGAAAAAAAUAAGAAUUUUUUUAAAAAAACGGUGCGAUGAAAAAGAAAAGUUUUUUUGUUUUACCCGCUACUAUUUAUGUAAUUUAUUAUCUUUUUUUUAUUUUUAUUAUUUUGUUUUGUGCAUUCUCUUGUCUACCUUCCACUAUUGUGAGUCCACACCACGUGCACUCACAUAUUUUUAGGGUUAAUUACAUAUAGUUUUUAAUAAAUUAUCGAAUAUAUUACUACAAAAUUUAAUUUUUUAUAUUUAUUCUUGUAAAAAUUCGGUGAUAUUUAUAUUCCCAUCUGGUUUGUUACCGUUAGAGAUUGUUUAUUUUUUAAUAGCAGAUAGGUGAAAUAAUAUUUUUGCUCUUACAAAUAUAUUUUUUCAAAAGCCCAAGUAUUAAAAUUAUGCAGAAAUAUCCUUUCAAAAAAAUAUUUUACUUAAUAAUAUAAGAUGAGUAAAAAAAUCAAUUUAACUCAUUCACUAAUCAGAGUUAAGUAUUUCACUUAUGGUUAAUUAUAUUUUUCCCACGGAUUCUAGCAGUAGAGAUAUAUUUAAAAAUAGUAGUACUUUUGCAGAAAUAAAAAUAAAAUGUUAAACUUUGUAGAAAUAUAUUGCUAUUCAAUAUGUUCACAUAAAAUUAUAUGGAAUUAACCUUGUUUUUUAUUAGCCCUACUUUGACAUCAGCUCGCCCCAAAGUCCCUAGAAGUUAAAAGUCUAUUUGUUUGGGUAAAAAUGGAGAGGGGUGAAAUCGUUUUCCACUAUAAGCAAUCACUUUCGCUGUUUGUUUCGUCGUAAUAAAGAUACGAUCGAAACUCAAGUUGUCCGUAACAGACCGAAGUCAAUUACGGUGAGAAAAGAUGAACAGAAAAAUAAUAAAAUAAUACAAUGAAUAAUGCUAGUUAUAUUUAAAUAUAUUUAAUUAUGAGACUAAUUAUUUUUUUAUUUAGUUUGUAUAUUUAAAAUAUGAUAAAAUUUGAUUAGUUAAGUUUUAAUAUUUUCUUCAUUUAGUUUGUAAUUUAAAAUAUGAUGAGAAUUUAUUAGAUAAGUAUUUAUAUACUAUUUUACUUUAUUCUAUUGUUAUAUUAUUAUUAUAAUUUAUGUAUAAAAAGUAAUUUAGUUGUUUUAAAUUAAAUUUUUUAAUUAUAUAGAAAUAUAAUUAUAUUGUUUUAUUUAUUAUAUUAUAAUUUAUUAUUUAUUAAGUUAUUUAUUAUUUAUACAUAAAUUAUAAUUUUAGAUCACUCACUUUUUGUCAAACAUACAGCAGAACUAAAAAAAACUUACUUUCAUAACUAUGAAACAGCAGGAGAUAAGUAGUUUUUACCGAACUCCACUUCAAUCCAAAAUCUACUUCAGCCCAAAUUCUAAUUUCAGUGAAACAAACAUACCCUAGUGUAUUUAAGGUUGCAAUUGGUGGAACCCAAAGUGGACAAUGGAAAGUUGGGAUUUAUGAAUUAUUAUAGGGCUUUUUUUGCUUUUAACCAUCUCAGAAAAAAAAAAAUUUCCACAAAUAACCUCAUAAAAAUUAUAUUUACAAGAUUAACCUUAUCCUCGCCACACGAGCGCGACGUGUGUUAGGUUGGUUAAGUUGAACACAGUAAAUCAUUCAUCGUGUUUGGACACGACGAAUGAUUCAUCGUAUCUUUUUCACAUUUUACUUAUACCGUGUUCUUUUCACAUUCACCAUUUUUAUUGUAUUAUAAAUUAAAUUGAACACAGUAAAUCAUUCAUCGUGUUUGGAUAUAGUGAAUGGUCCGUCGUGUUCAACUUAAAUUCUGGAUUGUUAGUCACGCUCAUGUGUUGCUUGCGUGGUAGGGAUAAGGCCAAUUGUGCAAAUAUAAAUUUUAUGAUGCUAUUUACGAAAUUUUUUUGAGAGGCUAAAAGCAAAAAAAAAAAGGCCCAUUAUUAUAUUAUUUAUUUGAUGACUUUUUAACCCUUAUUAAAUGUAGUGGUGCUAGAUCUAUGCUGUGUACAAGUAGCGUUUUUCUUUCCCAAGUCCCUAGCUCCGAGAUCUAAACAUAAUCUUUUUCAUUUUAACUGGAGACUUUUGGACAUGAAAAAUACUAGGUAUUACUUACAAUAUUAUUUAAGUAAAAUCAUACACAACAUACUUGAACAUCGGACAAUUUUAAUUUAGCUAUCUAAUUUUUUAAAAUUUUAAUUUUAUUAUUCAAUCUUUCGAUUUGUUUGAUUUGGGCUAGGCAACAACACUUUAAUUUUAGAAUAUGAUUGUGUUAUUUAUCUUUACAAUUUUAGUUAGUAUCCUUCAAACAAUUCUCGCAACUAUAAAUUCGAUAAAUUAAGUUAUUAGCUUAAAUUUUGAAGUAAAAAAUAUCAUUGGCCAGUUCAAAUCAAACAAAUUAAAAUGUUGGAUAGUAAAAUCAAAAUUUCGAAAUGUUGAACAACCGAUUCAAAAUAGUUUAUAAUUCAGAUAUAUUCUAUACGUUUUUACCUAUUAUUUAUUGUAAAUUUCUUGUAAUAUUUUUAAACUGCUUGUCGCCAUGCUUGAGCAAAUCAAAAUUUCAUACACCCAACGGAAUCCCAGCCUUGAUUUGUAGCUGGUAGGAAAGCAGCCAAAUCCGUCCCUCAAUUGCAUCUCCCAGUACUUACUUUUUGAAAGAAAAAUAGCAUGCUAUCUAUAACGUCCCAACUUUUCAAGGAGCUAUUCAUUCUAGAACUAUUCUAGUCCUAACACGCUUAAUUUUUUUAAUCUCUUAGGCUUAUCCACCGUACAAAAUGUUAUAGUCGGGUCAAGAGUUUUAGUUUUAUUAUAUCUUAUAUAUAGAACUAUCUGAGAUUUUAUACUAUUUGUUUCGUGUUUUUUAAGAAACAAAUUUAGUUGAAAAUAUGAAUUAGCUAGGCUUCGAACUUUGAAUCUCGGAUACCCCAUCAUCAAGCCCUUUGCCUUUUGUACUAGGCACGGUCGGCCAUCUUACAGUGCUUGACCUGACAGUUGUAAAGAAGAACUCCUAUAAAUAUGUAAACCAAAGUGUAGCUUCCCCAGUACAUUAGAAAAAUGUAAGAGAAAUAAUAUUUGUACAUCCCAAAAAACAGUACAGACAUAAACAUUUCUCAUUCUUAAAUUCAUAAAACCUUUUGAAUUUUUGAUAUUAAAAAAAAAAGUCAAAAUAUAAUGUGAAACAGCUACAGUAUAAAUCAGUUACUGUCGAAAGGUUGCAUUGAGUACCCAAAAGUCUAAAAUCAUCUUCUACGGUGUCUGUUGAAGGUCCUUAAUUUCUUUGGAAUCCUUGUCUUCAUUUCUAUUAAUGUUUAUUUUGAAAAUAUGAUUGAAACCUUUUUUUUCUAAGAAAUUUUUUCAUGGUACAAAAUUUGCCACAUAGCUAGAUUAUCUAAUUCAAAGGUUUAAAUUUUACAUGCAUCCCAAUCAGGCGUGUCCUCCGCGCUAUUUCUUUUUCGUAGAAGUAUUGUUACUGCUAUCAAUCCAAGUCAAACUGCUGGUACCGGUCAAUGCAUCCUACUAUUUGUAAGUACAUAAUUUUUUUUUUUUUUUGAGAAUCGGUAGCACGCUACCUACUUCAUUCAUUGAAUAAGUGAAUUAGGCUACAGAGGUGGGGCAACCAGGGCCCCAAAUAGAGAAAAAAAAAAAAAUCAUAGAUUGUCUUUCCAAGAAUCAAUCAAGUACUUGAGCCUACGCGCCGCUAAUAUGGGGUCAAACUGAAUGUCAUGAAAGAUAAAGUUGUUCCUCGCCUUCCAAAUGGUCCACCAGCAUGCGGCCAAUUCAGAUAGACCGUCCCUUCUACUUUGUAAGUACAUAAAUUAUAGAUAAUUUUUCAUGGUGCAACCUUGUAGAGGUGAGCAAAUCAACCAUAAAUGGUGUGUUCAUAACAUCAGAGUGGGUAGCAUGCUAUCUUUUUCUCACAAAAAAAAAAAAAAAAAAAAAAAAAAGGAAAAAAAAAAAAAAAAAACAUCAGAGUGGUGCUUUUGUUUGAAACUAGAGUUCCGCUCAAAUGAAAGAUCUCCAACAAAAAGAAAUUUUGAAACUAUAUUUUAACAGUUCAUUGUUUUCUUAAACAUACCUAAAUCGAUCGUGAUCUGAAUGGUGAAAGAGCACGCAAAGUUUUUCAUAAUUUGCGUGCAACAACCGCUGGUUAAUUUACGAGAUUGGCUAAAUAAGGUGAGAAUGAAAUUGUUUUAUUAGAGUCGCUUAAUUUAAUACUGCUUUUUAAUUUCUCCUAGCAUAAUUUUUUUGGGGAUGGAUUACGCCCAAGACAUAGAAUAAUUAUUCAAUGAGAGGAAAUUAAAUAAAGGUAGGAGCUCUACCAAGACCCAAGCUUAAAAUUUCAUGCUCUGAUAUAAAAGUGAGGCUGGUAUGCUUAUGGAGGCACACGGAGCCUUCCGUGCUUUCAAGUCGUUUUCGAUGUUAGGACUUUCGAAUCAACAAUCGGCUCUAUUAGACUUAAUCUAUAGUAUUUGAAAUAUUUAGAAAAAUAAAUUUCACAAUUUCUUGAUAUUAUUUACCUAGUAAUCGAAAGAGUUCAAAAUCAAUGGCUGAAAAUAAAAAUAUUACAAAAUAUGAUGAUAUGACAUUAACAUUUUAGAUUAAAGAUAAUGAUAUUAUUUUAUAUAGUAUGAAGAAUUUUUUAUCAAAAUUUUGCGUGAUUUGAAUAUUUUUACACAGUUAAACUUGCAAACGGCUCACCGCGAUUAUUAAAAUUAUUGAUUUUUGACCCCUUCGAUCACUAUGCAAAUGAUAUUGAAAAAUUAUGAAUUUAUUUUCUAGCUACUUCAAAUACUUUAGAUGAGGCCUAACGGAGCUGAUCGUCAAUUUGAAUGUCCCAACAUCGAAAAUGACUUGGAAACACGAAGCUCCGUGCUUCCGGACGUAUACCGGCCUCACUCCAGAUAUAAUAUCAAAAAUAUAUAAAAUAAUUAUUUUUUCUAAAAAUUUAAUAUAUUAAAAAGUGAUAUCUUCUGUUUUUUUUUUAUAUUCAAAAGAUAUUAGGAAAACAGUCGUAGAGGGACAAAGGUGCAUGUUAUUUAAUUAAGCAGUCAACCUACUUAAUUAUGCUUCGAUUUUCUAAGGGGUGUAUUUUUUAUUUUUUUAUUUUUUUUGAGAGAUAGAUAGCACGCUAUCCGCUUAUUUUAUUUUAGAAAGAAAUUUAACUGAAAAUAUGAAUCAACUAGGAUUCGAACUUGGGUCUCGGGUACCAACCACCAAGCCCUUUACCACUUGUUCUAUGAACGGUCGGUCUAAGGGGUGUAUAUUAAUUGUUUGGUGCAUUACUAUAUGCAUUUUAAUAUUUUCCAAACCUAACUUUUCUUAUCCACCUGCCAAAUUGGAGCUUGAUUACAUGCUAGAUAUUAUGAAUGUAUCAUCAAGCAUCAAAUUAUGAGCUUUACUUUAAAAAAGCUCCACAUCUCAUUACUGGGUUGCAGAGGAUAUAUAUAUAUAUAGUCCAGUUGGAAUAAUGACACUAUAUUACUGGAGCCCGAUAAUAUAGAUAGUAUAGAAGUCAUAAUAAUAUAUACUCUAUUUUAUAAAUAUAAGUAAGAACAUAUCAAUCGUACCUGCAGCAAAGUGCGGAUGAAUUGCUAGUUCGAUUCUAAACAACAAAAUAUACAUUCAUUCAGUUCCUGUUAGGAACAACAAAUAUACAUGGAUUCAGGUUCAAGUUAGGAAUUUGUAUUUGUAUUUUCGCCGGGAAUAGCUGACAAAAGAUGGCUGAUUUUGAGUGGUUCAUGAAUAACUGCGUUUACAGCACUCACCAUUUCCUUUGCAGAUGUAAAUCCAUCAGUGUUCAUGUAGAAUAGGUGAAGUAUUCUGCACAUCUUCCAAAAUAAGUCCUUGCAACUUCGAGGAAUUACAGAUCCCUCCUUCAGCACCAGCCUUAGCAAUUCUCUCCGAGAAGUUUCGACAGAUCUCUUGAGCUCCCUUUGAGCCUCUUCUACAGAGAUGGAAGAGUCGCUAUGAACAACGCGGAGCGAGAUGCUGUUCAACUUUCCUUCUUUACAUUCUCUCUGCACCAAUUUAAAGUAAUUAGUGUCCAAAUGAUAAUGAUCAAAGACCACGAUGAGCUUGAAGAGAAUGUGGGGGAACAAAAUUAAGGCUUUACAAGGACAGGAAUUCGCCUCGUCCAAUCUAUUUGUGCUACUAAAUAUUGCACUUCCUCCAAUCUAUUUCUGCUACUAAAUUUUGCACUUACUGCUUGUAUUACCUCGUAACCUUGCACGUCGUUUAGAAGACGGCCGCAUGUGCUCACAAGUCUGAACAAUUCAUGGUACUCUGGAUCUGCGAUCGCCUCUUCGGAGAGCUUUGGACCAACAAUGUAGAGUAACGAGAGAACGGUAGGGCCCAAAGCAAGGGAAAAAAUUCCAUUUUCCAUGUACUGCUCCGUCGUGGGUACCGUUUUCUUCCUCAGCCACUCUGCUUCGUUCAUCAUGGACCUCAUCAUACUAAGCCACUGUUGUUAAUUUGCAUUGCUAUGUGUCAAAAUCUUUUUAGAAUAAAUUGUUCGGUUUUCAUAUAAUCUAAUUCAUGGGGGAAGUUGGUUUUCUGUUUACAAAAGGAUUUUCUGAAGAGAAGCAUCUUUGCGAGUGUUGUAUAUGUAAGAAGUCGUGUUUUGGAAUGGUGUUUUCGUAUUUUGCAGGAAUGUGUAGGCGAUUUUGCAGUGGUAUAUAUGUAAAUGUCUGAAUUCAGUAAGCUGUUAGAUCUCACUAUUUCUACUAGAUGGCCGGUGACGCUACGAUUUUGUACUGCUGAUGCCUUAGCUCCAAGCUCGUUGAUUGUGCUGUGAAGCGCAGAAAAUAUAAUCUCCACGUGCUCAGAGCAAAACUCUUUUUCGUGAUUUCCAUCCCAUCUGUCACAAGUACAAACGUGCUUAAAGAAAAUAAUGUUGUAAAAUAAUCUCAGAAAAAUUGCGGAUCACAAAUAUAAGCAAGGACGAUCGUACUUCUCAACUAAACUGAUGAGGUUUUUUAAUUCUUCGAUUGAUCCACCUACGUCGAAGAAGUCGUCAACCACAGUGGUGAGCAGACUAUUUUUGGCCCAUAAAAUGCGACCAUCGGUUAAUUCGGGAGAACAUAGAGUAGCAGCAGCAGAGAGGUAACAGUAUGUUAUUUUAUCCCGAGCAAAUCCUAGCUGAUCCAACCGGUUUUCUCUGACCCAGCUGUUAAAAUCACAAAUUUAGAUUAGGAAAGCACAAUGCUGGCGUUAAAUGUAAUAAAAAUAAGGAACUUGCUUUUGCAUGUGCAGUCAACAAAAGCAUAUUUCUGAUAGUGGAAGGGCGUAUAGACACAUAUUGGAUAUUCAAAGGACAUUGGCAACAAUUUCAACUUAAGAAGGGUCUGCGAGCAAACGAGUAUAUUUUGAGAGAUAUUUAUGCAACAAAAUAACCUUAAAAGGAGAAUCCAUAAGAUGGACAGACCUCUGAAGAUGUUGAAGUUCUUUCCGGUAUAUAGACUGACAGCUACUGAAAUCUUCAACAGCCAAUUUAAGAAGAUCAUCAGAAGUCCAGAAAGACCUGAUUCAGUUCAGAAGCAGAAAUUACUGGCAGAAAUCCAAAAAUCAGAAAAAAAACGUUUUUAUCCUAUUUAUGAUUAAAUUCUUACUUAUAUGAUGUUUUGAGAAUCUGAUAAUUGGCAACAUCGAAGUGCUCAAUGUUUCUCUUGUGUUCUAAGCGUUCCAAAUUGGCGUAAAAGGGAAAUUUAAGAACAUAAUCUGCCUGAAAAUAUAAAAUAGAAUUAGUUUCAACUCUCAAUCAGACAACUAGAAUUUUUUUCCCCCAAAAAAACAUAUUAAGACUAUCAAAUACCUACCUCUUGGGAGAUAACUCGGGAAGAAUGUUUUGAAUUAGAAGAUACUUCCUCUUUUAGGAAACUACUGGACCAGGAACCCAGUUUAUCUAAGACUUGUUCACAGUCCAGGAUUUUAAUCUGUGAUGCCUUGUGAAAUUCUAGAACAGUUUUCAUAUCUUUCAGAUAUCCUUGCAUGGAAUUAUGGAAAUUGUGUGCUUCAGCAUAGUGAGAUAGCCUAUCUGCACCAUCGUCAGCAAUAGAUUAAAAACUCAUCGGCGUAAAAUACAUGUGUAGAUAACCAAGAUUCCGAAAGCUAGUUCCAUCUGGGCCCAAACUACCUGAGGAAACAUCAUAUCCGUUCAUACGCAAAAGACAAAAUGCCAUAGCACAUGCAGCCAUAUCCAAACUAAGUUCCUCAUCGUUCUCCAACCAGCAUCUGCAUAUUAGAUGGCGACAGCGGGUAAAAAUCUUGAGAUACUGCACAUAUCUCAACUUAAGGAUAUUUUUGUAAGGAACUCCACUCUAAAUGGGGUGUAUGAAAAUUAAGAUUAUAACAAGGGGUACGUAUGUGUAAAAAGAUCAUUUUGCAGAAAUACCUCUAUAUAUAUUUCUAAAACUGCAAUUCAUAUUUAGAAGCUAUUUCUAGCGUAAUACCUGUAUAUUCUGUCCAAGAUGGUCUUUAUCUCAUAAGCAAACAGCCGAGAAAUUCCCAACUUUUCAAGAGUGUCGACCAUGCAAAGCUGCGUAUGCAUCUCAAACGGAUAAACGGUAGGAACUGCAGAAAGGAAAAUGAUAUUAGAAAUACCGUAGCAUUUCCACAUAUGCGACGGACAAAAUUUAUCGAUUAGAGAGUAGACUCGAAUCCACCUGAACUGCCAAACCGCCGUAAAAUAGCAUGCAGGUAGUCAAGAGCUUUAACAUCAUAACGAUGGGUCAAUGCAACAGCUGUUGUUGCAGGUGAAUUGAACAACGAUCCGUUCUUCCUCUGAUACUUCAUAACCUCAUUCCAGUCCUGCAAAUUCCCUAAUCCUUCGGAUACAUACGCCAUGUACGCUUUUCGUCCCUCGGAAUUGUUUGCAGAAUCCCUAAAAAAUCAAUAAUACCGAUCACAACAUAAAUGCCAUUUACAAAAAAAUGUGCAUCCUGAGUGAAAUUAAUGAUAUAAGAUUCUGUUAAAUAUAAAAAUGUUUAAAUACCGUUCUCUAAUAGCUUAAGUUCUUAGAGUAUAACGGUUGUUUCACAGAUUCAAACAAAAUUUACAUUGGAAUAACCAGGGAGCCUGACCUUUUCAAUUCUAAAUCUCGAAGGCAAAGAAUAUCCUGAAUAGCAUGCUGUCUUAUGGGAAUAUCUAAACCCAAAUCGAUUGCACGUUCAAGCAUGCCAGGGAAAAUGAUAUUGAAGCCAACAGGAGACUGAUAAUUCUCAUCCUUAAUACAUGACAAAUUAGAUCCAAUAUAACGUAGCCCUGCAAUUAGCCCAACAAAAAAAUGAAGCUUCUUAAUCCAUUGAGCAAAACGCAAUGUUAAUGAGUAAAUGUUCUGUUUCUUAUUACCUCGUCUUACAUGCUCUUCACCCACAUUCCAACGCUUGAGCGCGAGUACACAUGCCAAUGUGGAAGAUAGAGCAUCUUUCAUCAAAGAGGGAUGAAUAUGGUCAAGUCCCCAGGAUCCAUUAGAAUUUUGAUUUUGUAACAUCCAAUCGACGCACUGAGGGAAGCACGGAGUUUGAGGAGAUCCAGGAGAAGGGACCAUGGCUACCCAUGCCGUGUCAUACGAAGAAACUGAAUAUUCGACCUUACUUAGCUGCUCCCUUAUUCGUUUCUCCGAUUCCCUGGAACACUACAGCCACGUCUAAUAAGAUGCUUAAUUCGACCACAAUUUUAUCGUAUGGUUGUGUCGAAAUAACAUGGGAUCAAUAAAUCCAAUACCAUUACUGAAAGGUUCGCACUGUUUGCUACUUUCGCAUCAUCCAAAUUUGCUGUAUACAAAAACGAAGCAGUCGGCACUCCGCAAAAGAGAAAUAAAUGUAACACUAGAGCAAGUGAAAUAUGCAAAUGUCUUUUCAUGAUAAUCCCAACCAACCUAGUUAGAAGUUGUCGUGAUAUAACUAGAUCUAAUACAUGCUGCAAUUUGAAGAUAGUCCCAUAUUUGGCAUUUAACAUAUUCUUCUUAAAAAAAACAAUACACAUAACUUUAAUUGUCUUAUUGAGACAUAUGUAACCCCAAAUUUUCACAAAUGUUACAAGUAAGAAUCUUAGGGUGAUGGAGUGUUGGGGAAAGAACGGGUGGAAGUGGAGCAAAAUCCUGUCUGGUUUUUUGCCUACCUCUCAACAGGACAGACAACUAAUCCUGAAACUUAAAGAGUCGAUCGUCGAGACCCUGGUUCUUAAUGGAAAGGACGGAGUUAGGUGGAGAUGGGAUCGAUCCGACAUGUUCUCUAUGAAAUCCAUGUAUAAUUUUUUUCAGGACGGCGAAAUACAUGUCAGGCACUUUAACCACCUUUGGAGGAGUUGCUCCCCUCUGAAAGUUAAGAUUUUUGUGUGGCUAGCCUUAAAAAGAAAAGUAUCCAUAGUAAAUAACCUCUUAAAAAGGGGGUGGAGUGGUGAAGAAAGUUUUGUCUUUUUGUCACGUCCCAAUAGUCUCACAUCGGAUGGGGAUUCUAAUUUCGAUCGGUAUAUAUGAGACCUCGCACGCUAGUAAUAAUAACUAGACUUAAGCAUUUUGAGCUGAUGGAUUGAGCCCAACGAGUUAUUGUUGCUAGCGGGUCGGGUCGUUGCAAUUGGUAUCAGAGCCGAAUACCAGCCAGAAGUGUGAGAGCUAAGUGUUAUGCUGGACAAAGUGCUACACAAACGAAUUUGGUGGGAGCCACCUCUUGAACCCGUAGGAGCCACCUCUAGCCAAAGUACUAAAGCCCGGCCCACGACUUUGCUCCCAAAUAAACAGUACCUCCCUUACUGUUCGUCUAUCUGCCGGCUAUGGCACGAAAGCAGCCUUAAAGGCGGUGUGCUAGGAAGGAGGGAGGUGACGAUGGUUAUCACCACAUGGUAGGUCGCCUGGCUGGAAAGAAAUUGCCGUAUUUCGGUUUUUUUUUUCAGAGAGCAAUACGACAAUUUUUUUUUUUUUCGGACUCAGGUUGUCUCAUUAUAUAGCUGAGUUCACUCUCUAAAUGAAUGAAGUGCUAGCAUGUUAUUUUUUCUCAAAAAAAAAUGUAAAUAAUAUAAUUUAAUGCCACAUUUACUUGUAUAAUAGCAACAAUUGAAUAUCAAUAUUAAAAGCAUCAUACUCUCUUACACAAGUAUUUCGUAAUCACAACGAUAGGAAAGCUAAGUUAGCAUAUUUCAAGAAAACUAUACAUGAGAUGUAGAAUAGAACGCAUCACAUUUCCUUUCAUACACAAAAAAAUUUAACUUAAAAAAUUGUUCUACCUGACGAAACUCGCGGAAGAGAUGCUCGAACUGUUUUUUUAGCUCUAACUCUAGAAAUUUGAAUAUCCGUAGAUUGGAUGCAGCACAGGGGAAAUGAGAGAGCAUUUAACGACAUGGCCACUCAGGUUUAUGUGAAAUGGCGAUCUAGGAUGAGAUAGCAGCAAACUAAGAGGCAUCAAAUUAUGAUUAAGAAUUUUCGAGAAAAAUACUGCAAGGGAAAAGAAAGCAUAGCAGAAGAAAGAAUCUAACCAAUUAAGUAGAUAGAAUUUAAAAUAACUCAAUUAAGGAUAGAACAAUCAAAGUAAAUCAAACUAAUGCAUCGUUAUAAAAGGUGGCGAAACGGACUGUCCCUAGCGCAAGUUGCAAAAGGCUCGGUGGUUGAUACCCGAGGUCCCAAAUUCGAAUUAUAGUUAAUUCACAUUUCCAGCUAAAUUUAUUUCUAAAUAAUAUAAACAAAGCAAAUAACAUGCUACUUGUCUCUUUAAAAAAAAAAAAAAA